RNAcentral lists this long non-coding RNA (74995 nucleotides) under Gossypium barbadense (sea-island cotton). RNAcentral describes it as "long non-coding RNA (GBAR_LNC015874)". The record is from RNAcentral. Lineage: Eukaryota; Viridiplantae; Streptophyta; Magnoliopsida; Malvales; Malvaceae.
UCAAGUAAAUGCAGUGAGGGAGAUGCUGAGGAUUACGGAUCAGGAAUCCAACACGGCUUUACAUGAAGCAGCAGGGUGUGGCAAUGUCAAAGUGGUGAAAGCAUUGUUGGAGUUUGAAGACCCUGAUUUUCCGUAUUCUGCCAACAAAAAACAGGAGACUCCACUUUACAUAGCAGCUAGGAGGCGAGGAUCUGGGCGCUUGUUGACUCUAUUAUUAGAUAAAUUCAGAUCAGCAGCAGCUCAUGGCGGCCCCCAGGGUAGAACAGCUUUGCAUGCAGCAGCUAUGGCUGGAGAUGCAGGUAUGUUGUUGAGUUAGUUCCUUUUUUUUUUUUUUUAAUUUUGAAAUAAAUAAACAGCAGGUCUAUUGACAUUUUUUUUUUGCUUGGAUUUAGAGGCAGUAAAGGUAAUAUUAAAGAAGAAGGGGAAUUUGACAAAGGAAAGAGAUGAAGAUGGACGCACCCCUCUUCAUUAUGCUGCACACUUUGGUUCUAGAUUAUCAGUUGUGGAAGAACUGUUAAAAAGGGAUGUAUCAGCUGCCUAUAUAGGUGAUAAAAAGAGGGGGAUGUGUUGCGCGGAAGCGUGUGAAAGAGUAAAAUUAUUGUACUGAAAAAUCACACUAAGUUCAAUUCCCAGGAAAGAGAGGUGGAUCACGAGGAUCGCUUACAUACCAGAUCUUUCCUAGCCAGAAUAUCCCUCUAUCGUAAUUUAAUAGCACAAUAAAUCACUACAAUGACACUUGCAAAAUAUGCAGAACAAAAAUAAAGAACACUAGAAUUUUAACGAGGUUCAGCAAAUUUUGCCUACGUCCUCGGGCACUACCAAAUAUAUUUCACUCCAAAAAUACAAGUGAAAGUUUACAAAUAGGGAGAGAGAACAAUUGCCUUAAGUAGAGAAUGGCAAGUGUGGGAUGAAGAAAGUAAGAGAUGGUUAGGCCUAUUUAUAGUUGAGGUUUAAGGAUCAACUUGCAAUGUCCCUAUACAAUUAGGGACCAAAAUUGCAAUUAUCCCAUGCCAACUUUUAACCCAACUUGCCAACCAAUCUUACUUUCUACUUUCGGUGCCUUUCGGUGCCAACUUUCUGCCACUAUUCAUCUUUGAAAAGUCAAAGAUUGUAGGUAUCCAAUAAUCUCCACCUUGAAGAUUUGAUUAGGAUAAUCUUAUCUUCACACAAUUCUUUCUUCCUUUGACAAUAAUACUUGAUAGUGCCUUCUUCAACUGUUAAACUUGCAGGAUAUUGAUCAAGUUCAAACAAUAUUUGAACUUGGUUGUUGUUACCACCUUGGUCAUCAUAUCUGCGGGAUUAUCUGUAGUCUUGAUCUUCUGAAGACAAAUUUUCCCCUCUUCAAUAAUUUCCUGCACAAAAUGGAAUCGUACGUCGAUAUGUUUUGUACGUGCAUGAUAGACUUGAUUCUUUGCUAAAUGAAUAGCACUUUGACUAUCACAAUACACGUUAAUAUGCUCCUGAACCAACCCCAAGGUUUUAGCCAUACCUUGUAACCAAAUAGCCUCCUUUACAGCCUCUGUUACAGCCAUGUACUCGGCUUCUGUGGUUGACAAUGCAACUGUAGACUGUAGUGUAGACUUCCAACUUAUUGGUCCUCCAGCAAGUGUAAACACAUAACCGGUGGUUGAUCUUCGCUUGUCCAAAUCACCGGCAUAGUCAGAAUCAACGUACCCAAUAACACCUUUACCAAGUGUAUUAUCCUGCUUGAACAGUAAUCCAACAUCCACGGUUUUCUGAAUAUACCGUAGAAUCCAUUUCACAGCUUGCCAAUGUCCUUUUCCAGGAUUAUGCAUAUACCUGCUCACUAUACUAACUGCCUGUGAAAUGUCGGGUCUUGUACACACCAUUGCAUACAUCAAGCUACCCACUGCAUUAGAAUACGGAACUUGCAACAUGUAUUCUCGUUCCGUAUUCGUCGAAGGAGAUAGUUGUGCAGAAAGCUUGAAAUGAGAAGCCAACGGGGUACUUACAGGUUUGGUAUGCUCGUUCAUACCAAACUGCUGUAGUACUUUCUUCAAAUACUGCUUCUGAGACAAGCUAACUCUGCCAUGAGCUCUAUCUCUACAUAUUUCCAUGCCAAGAAUCUUCUUAGCUUCACCUAGAUCUUUCAUCUCAAACUCGAGAUUGAGUUGAGUCUUCAAUCUCUCAAUCUCAACUUUGCUCUUAGAUGCUAUCAGCAUAUCAUCAACAUAUAAGAGCAAGUAUAUGAAAGUUCCUUCUUGUAGCUUCUGAAAAUAUACGCAAUGAUCAAAUUUACUUCUUGUGUACCUUUGCCCUUUCAUGAACUGAUCAAAUCGCUUGUACCACUGCCUCGGAGAUUGUUUCAAUCCAUAAAGCGACUUUGUCAGUUUGCAAACCCAAUUUUCUUUAUCAGCAACAUUGAAUCCAUCAGGCUGAGUCAUAUAGAUUUCCUCUUCCAAAUCACCAUGUAAAAAUGCUGUCUUCACAUCAAGCUGAACUAGUUCAAGAUCGUAUUGCGCAACCAAGGCUAGUAAAAUUCGAAUAGACGAAUGCUUCACAACUGGAGAAAACACUUCAUUGUAGUCUAUUCCUUCUUUCUGAGCGUAACCCUUUGCUACCAAUCUAGCCUUGUAUCGAAUUAUAUUUUUACCAGGAAAUCCUUCCUUCUUUGCAUAUACCCAUUUGCAUCCAAUUGCCUUCUUUCCCUUGGGCAGUCUCACCAACUCCCAAGUCCUAUUUUUAUGAAGAGACUGCAUUUCUUCAUUCAUAGCUUGCUUCCACUUUACACCAUCAGAGUUACUUAUUGCUUCUGUGUAAGUGGAAGGAACAUCAUCAUCUGCAAUUGGAAGUGCAUAGGCCACCAUAUCAUCAAAGCGAGCAGGCUUACGAAUCUCUCUUCUUGGCCUCCUAUAUGCAAUUGAAUCUUGUUGCUGUAGAAGUUCUUGGGUCAAAACUUCUUCAUCAUUUGUUCUUUCAAUAUUAGCUGGAUCAUCAUUAACCUUUUCAAACUCCACCUGCUGCAAAGUACUACUGGUUUUGUCAUCCUUUUGUGAAUCCUCGUUCUUCAUCAUGGUUGAUUCAUCAAAAGUUACAUCUCUACUGAAAACAAUCUUCCUUGUAUCAGGACACCAAAGACGGUAUCCUUUUACACCACCAGUUAUACCCAUGAAUAAUGCUUUCUUUGCUCUUGGGUCUAAUUUAGAUUCUUUUACAUGAUAAUAUGCAGUGGAACCAAAAACAUGUAAAGAAUCAUAAUCAGUAGCAGGUUUACCAGUCCACAUCUCCAUAGGAGUUUUUCCAUUUAUUGCAGCUGAUGGCAAUCGGUUAAUUAGAUGGCACGCAUAUGUAACUGCCUCAGCCCAAAAUUCCUUGCCCAAUCCAGCAUUGGACAACAUACAUCGAACUUUCUCCAGUAUAGUCCGAUUCAUGUGUUCUGCCACCCCAUUCUGCUGUGGUGUAUCUCGAACAGUGAAGUGUCCACAAUGCCCUCAUCUUGACAUACUUGUAGAAAUGGAUCAUUUUUGUACUCAGUACCAUUAUCUGAUCGAAGUCGUUUGACCUUUCGACCUGUCUGAGUCUCCACCAUCUUCUUCCACUUCAGAAAUGCAUCCAAAACUUCAUUUUUUCUUUUCAUUAGAUACACCCAUACUUUUCUUGAAUAAUCAUCAAGAAAAGUGACAAAAUAGUGCAUACCUCCCAAAGAAGCCACUUUGGUAGGUCCCCACACAUCACUGUGAACAUAGUCCAGAAUUCCUUUCGUAUUGUGAAUUGCUGAACCAAAUUUUACCCUCGUCUGCUUGCCCAGAACACAAUGUUCACAGAAUUCCAAUUUGCAAGAAUUUGCACCUUUCAACAAGCCUUGCUUCGCCAAAGUCUGCAAAGCUUUUUCACCAGCAUGUCCCAAUCGCCUAUGCCAUAACCUGGUAGCCUCUGAAUCUGCAUCUUUCGCAGAAGCUGUUGAUGUUGAUCCAAUAACUGUACUUCCAUUUAAAUAGUACAAGUUAUUUCUUCUAGUGCCUUUCAUCACCGUCAAUACCCCAGCUACUACCUUUAGUAAUCCAUCUCUCAAAGUGAUUGUGAGCCCUUUAGAUUCUAGGGCCCCUAAUGAGAUGAGAUUUUUCUUUAAGCUAGGUACGUAGCGAACAUCUGUCAAGACUUGGAUUGAGCCGUCGUGAUUCUUCAAUUGGACUGUACCCACUCCCAUUGUCUUACAAGCACUAUCAUUGCCCAUAAGAACAAUUCCACCUUCUAGCUCUUUAAGACUAGAAAACCAGUCCUUAUUAGGACACAUAUGGUAAGUACAUCCUGAAUCCAAAAUCCACUCAUCCGUUUGACAUGCCAUUGCCAUGCCAACCAAGCUAAAGUCUGACUCCUCAUCAUGCUCUGCUACACAUGCAUUAGAAAUAGCCUUGCCCUUUUGUAGCUUAGGACAAUUCUUUUUCCAAUGCCCUUUCUCACGACAAAAGGCACAUUCAUCUUUGGCGGGUCUCCCUUUGGACUUACCCCUUCUACCAGGUUUGCUGCUGUGUGAACGACCUCUUACUGUUAAGACUUCUGCAGUUGUAUCUCUGUGAUCUCUUUUAUCUUUCUUUCGAGUCUCAGAUCUAUACAACGCACUACAGACUGCAUCAAAUGUGAUCGUGUCCUUCCCAUAAAGCAAUGUGGUGGUAAGAUGAUCAUAUUCAUCAGGAAGGGAAUUCAACAACAAUAAUGCCUUGUCUUUAUCUUCAAAUUUCUCAUCCAAAUUUAGCAAGUCUGCUAAAAUUUUAUUGAAUGAGUUCACAUGGUCAUUCAUCGACAUACCGGGUGCAUACGUGAAUCGAUAAAGUUUCUUUUUCAUAUAAAGCCUAUUUUCAAGACUUUUCGUUAGAAACUUUUCUUCCAAUGUAUCCCACAGCUUCUUCGCUGAUGUCUCCCUCAUGACGGAGUACUUUUGCUCUUUGGCCAAACAUAGGCGGAUUGUUCCACACGCCUGUCUAUUGAUCUUGGCCCACUCCUUGUCAUCCAUCUUGUCAGGUUUUUCUUCAAGGGCUAUAUCCAGCUCUUGCUGACAUAAGACAUCCUGGAUCUCACACUGCCACAUACCAAAAUUAUUGGUACCGUCAAAUUUCUCUACUUCAAAUUUUGCAUUUGUCACAGUAGUCCUUGCUGAUGACGAUGCUGCUGCCAUUUUUCUCCUCAAUCCCAACUACUGUAUACGUGAACAGUACCGUAUACGUGAAUAGUGCCAUAUACGUGAAUAGUACCAUAUACAUAAAUAGUGCCGUAUACGUGAAUAGUACCGUAAACGGUCGUAUUCCCCAAGUACGAACCUGGCUCUGAUACCAAUUGUUGCGCGGAAGCGUGUGAAAGAGUAAAAUUAUUGUACUGAAAAAUCACACUAAGUUCAAUUCCUAGGAAAGAGAGGUGGAUCACGAGGAUCGCUUACAUACCAGAUCUUUCCUAGCCAGAAUAUCCCUCUAUCGUAAUUUAAUAGCACAAUAAAUCACUACAAUGACACUUGCAAAAUAUGCAGAACAAAAAUAAAGAACACUAGAAUUUUAACGAGGUUCAGCAAAUUUUGCCUACGUCCUCGGGCACUACCAAAUAUAUUUCACUCCAAAAAUACAAGUGAAAGUUUACAAAUAGGGAGAGAGAACAAUUGCCUUAAGUAGAGAAUGGCAAGUGUGGGAUGAAGAAAGUAAGAGAUGGUUAGGCCUAUUUAUAGUUGAGGUUUAAGGAUCAACUUGCAAUGUCCCUAUACAAUUAGGGACCAAAAUUGCAAUUAUCCCAUGCCAACUUUUAACCCAACUUGCCAACCAAUCUUACUUUCUACUUUCGGUGCCUUUCGGUGCCAACUUUCUGCCACUAUUCAUCUUUGAAAAGUCAAAGAUUGUAGGUAUCCAAUAGGAUGACACCCCUUCUUAUGGCAGCCAGGCAAGGUAAUGCUGGAAUAAUUUCGAAGAUUCUCUCUUUAUGUCCAGAUUGUUGUGAAGAAGUGGACAAUAAAUGUUUGAAUUUACUUCAUUAUCUGGCAUUUAGAGGCUCUUCCACUCUAUUUGGGCGUUCUUUUUUCAAGCUUGGUGGUAUUAAGAUUGCAUAUGGAUCACUCAGAAAUCUGAUGGAGUUGGAAGGUGACUUUGGGAUGACACCUCAAGAAGUUUAUAAUGCACUUCAAGAUGAGAAACAUCAUCAUAAACAGGUCAUGUGUUUGCCCAUAUAUAUUGCAUUUCCAUGGCUAUGGUUUUAUUAAUAUUUAAGUUUUGAAUUAACAUAUUUAAUAAACUUACAAUAAGACCUGCUAAUGUGGGUGGCAUUGCAGAAGCAAAUCAAAAAAUUGUUGGAAGAAAUUGAGAAUGAUCAAGGGGCGGAGGAACCAGUUCAUCGCUUUCUUUCACGAAAUGUUUCUACAGAAAGCUCGGAGAUGACAAUAAAUGCUCAUUUAAUAGUGGCAGCACUUAUAUAUACCGUCGCAUUCGCAGCAGCAAUAACUGUUCCUGGUGGUUUGAAUAGUGAAAAAGGGUCAGAGGAAGGCACUCCCCUUUUGAUUGAUAAGGCUGCCUUUAAAGUAUUUUUUGGAACAAAUUUAUCGGCCUUUAUUCUCUCUGUUUUUACCCUCACCAUCCACUUCGGGAUUCUGGAUAUUUUAUUUUCAGGAUUUAGUUUUUGGCAUCAAACAGGAUUUAUUCGAACUGAGUUUGUUUCUUUGAUCCUUGGCUAUGCAACAUUGGCGAUGGUGGUUGCUUUCAUUACAGGCAGUUUUGUGAUCUUAAAACCAACCUACGGACUUCCCGAUGUUCUUUUUCUCAUUAGCCCUGCUGUUUUUUUCUUUGUUUUCAUAUUUACUAUAUACAUACAAUAAUAUUACUUUAUCAUCUAUUGUAAUCUUCUUCCAAUUUUUAGUAUCAAUAUUAUCUCUUUGAAGAAAGAUUACUUCAAAUAUUUUUUUUGAGAUAUGUCUAACUUAUCCAUGUUAAUCAUCUCUAUUUAAUUGAAAUUAAUAUAAAGCUAUUAAUUGAUAAACAUACAAUUUCAGAAAAGGUAAAAGAAAAAUCACAAUUUGUUUAAAGUAAGAAUUAUUAAAUAUCAAAGAGUAAUAAAUAUGUUGUAACUAAUUUUCCGUUAUGAUUAAAAUCCAAUUUGACGAAUCAUUGAAAAAUAUGAGAAUUUUAAGUUUAAGGAAAAACUUAAGGUUCUAUUAAAAAAUGGAAAUUUGUCACCAAUCUUUUUAAUUAGGUGUGAUCAGACACUUAUAAAAUCGCUUUUAUUGUGAAGUUCAUGAAAAUGAUUAAAUGUCAGCUAAUUAACAAAAUUUGGUUUGGUGUUAUUAAGUGAAAGCCUUGAGUAAAACAAGAAUGUAACCAUCGUUAAUCGACAUGAAUUUCAAGAAAACCUAGCCUCCAUUUAUGGUUUGAUUAAUUCCACGCUUUGGCCAAGAAAAUGGAAAUAAAGAUACAAAGUUGUUCAAUUGAAGUAAAUGCAUCAUUAGUAGAGGUGUUCAUGGUUAGGCUAAAUCUAUGCAUGUAUAUAUGUGAUGUCCACUAAAUUAAUUAAUAAAUUGACUAAGUUAAAUGCACCUAUCAAUUAAUAGUAUAGUUAUGGCGACCACACAUAUCGUUCCCUCGAGGAUUACAAUUAGUAAUAAUUAUCUGUAAUAGCCCGAUUUUUAGUGAUGUCGGAAACAGUCCAAAUCUGGCAAAUGAGCUCAAAAAUUUUAUUAUUUAAUAUUUACGAGCCAAAUGAGGUAUUUAAAAGAUUUUUGAAUUAAUAAGUUUGUGGUUAUAAGGAUUUAUUAGAUUAAUUAAUUUAGAAAAAGAGGUAUCGAGACCUCGGUAUUAUAAAUUGAGCCGUAAAUAUUUUUAUAAAUAUUUACAGAGUGUCAAUAAGGUAGUAUUAAAGUUUCAUUAGAAAAUUUUAACGUUUUGGUAGUCAAUUAAUUAAAAAGAACUAAAUUGAAAAAGGUGCAAAAUUUGCUCAAGUGAUUAAAUAGUCUAAAUAAUAAAUAAAGGAAGACUAAAAGGGCAAAUAGACUCAUAUGAAUGGCAUGAAAAAAAUCAAGGAUUUUAUGUGAAAUAAGGGCAAAAUUGUAAAUUUCACCAAAUUAAAGAGAAAUAAAUGGGAAAUUGAAAAAUCUUGACAAAUUCAUCAUCAUUUUCAGCUCAAAAACAGCCAUAAGCUGAUUUUUCAUAUUUUAGCUUAAUGUAAGUUUAAUUCUUACUUUUUCCUUAAAAUUUUUAUGUUUUUGGACUUUUACAACUAGGUCUAACUUACUAUUUUAUUAGUUUUUGAUUUUGUUGAAAGUUUUGGAAGAUAUCAUUGAUAAGUUCAUAUGAUUUUAGUUAUCUAUGAGGAAGCUUUGCACACAUCUGUUGCCAAUACUUGUAGUUAUGAGUUAUUGUAUGCCAUUGAAUUUGUGUUAGAUACAUGUUAUAUGCUAACUCACUAUGUUUUGGAGAAUUUUAAUGUCAUGGUAAUCAAAGAAGCAAAGCAUUUUAAUGGCAUCAGCUUUUUUACAAUUAAAAUGUCCACAAGCUAAUGUGUAUGAACUUGGGAUGUGGAGUUCAGCUUAUUGGGAUGUGGAAACUAAAUAGUAAAAUGUUGAAAUUGUCCCAGUUAAUACCACAUUACGGUUGGUUUCCAUGUUACAAUACGAAAUCCGAUGGGAAAAUUGAAUUGCUGUCUGCUAAUCAUUUUCAUUUAGUUUGCUGUUUAAAUAAUGUUGCCUCACUCUUAUAAUCACCACUUUUUCUAUUUUUAUAUGCCCUCUCUCUUUCCCCAAAGUGGCGUUCCACGUGUUCACUUACUCUAUAUAACACCUUAGGUUUAGUCUUUUAAUUACUAAGGAUGUGGGUGUUUACCCAGACCAUGAGCUGAGUAGUGUUAUUGAUUUUGGAUAAAGCAUGUCGGCUACGUGCAUCUUAAUUGCCAUAAACAAGGGAUAAAUGAGAGACAUUGAGGCCCCAAUGGAAUGCUAAAAACAAUUUGAAACAAGGUUGAGAGAAGUGGGGUUUGGUAAACGUCACAUGCAAAUGCAAUUAUUAUUAUUAACUUCAACAUAUUAGUAUAAAAAAGGGGGACGAAUGUGGGCUAUGGGCCUAAAGUCAAAAAGGGGUUUUGUUAUGAAUCUAAAUUAAAGCAACCUAAAAGCAUUUCAUAAGCUUAUGAUUAAGACAAAUCUUGCUUUUAAAUUAGUAUUAUUUGCAUGGUCAUGGCCUUAUCCCUAGAGCUACACCUUUUGAAAUGACAAGUGCUAUUUUUAGAUUGUCUGAACAUUGAAGAGACAAAAGCUGUCAUAUAGUAAUCUAUCCUUCAAUUAUUGUCGCCUAUUCCUCACUAUUAACGGAAUAACAGGAUUCAUUUAUAAUUCACCAUUUUCCAACUUAAUUAACAACUAAAAAGGUCAAAUGUUCCAUAUUUCAAUGGCAUCAGGGAGAUGGAAUUCCUUGAUCUAACAUUUAAAUUCCACAAUUAGUUAUAAUUUUGAUUUUCUUUUUAUAAAAAAGACAGAAGCAUGCAAUAGAUAGUAAUAUAUAGCACUCUAUUACGUAGGUGGAUUAAAAAACAUAUUUUUUAUCGAUUGUGAAAGAGUUUAAACCGUACAUAGACUCCGAUAAUGGAUGUUGUCUUUAUUAUAUCACAAACCUUAAUUGUUGACUAAGUCGGCAAACAUCCAAGCUAAUCCGCUCUAACUUCCAAUGUACCUUGACACUUGCCCAAUAAAACCCUCCUCCAUCAAUUGUGAAAAUCAUAACAAACACGGCCUUCAACGUUAAGUUUUCGAUUAUUAAUUAAUAGCUCUCAAAAAACAAGUAGGGGACUAUGAAUUGGAUUUAUACUAGUAAAAGAUCGACAAACUAUUACAUGAUCCAAAAAAUCUCUAAGAGCAAUUACUAUAUAUCCCUACCGUAGUACCAUCUUAUUCUUGCCAACCAAACAAAUAUCACUACUACUCAUUCCUGGCCAAUCUAUACUGGAGUUGCUAUGACUAGAUCAUCUUUUUAUAACCAAACUACCUUCUUUUUUCUACUACUUCUAUUUUGAAAUACCUCUAUAGUUGUUGUAGACAAUUUUUGAACCUCAUUCCUUGUUUAUAAAGAUCAAGUUUCGCACCUUUAAAUAUCACCUCAUUCCGCAUUUCCAUAUCAACCACAUAGUCUUCGCACCGAUACUAUAUAUACAAGUUGCAUCGUCUACCCCUUUCCAUUGUUUUCAGCUUAACAUCCAAUUCUUUACAUUGCCUACGUUUAUACUUCCCAUUCUAAUGCCUAAACCCAGUCCAAACUAUACAGCGUGCGAACAAACCUUUAAUGAAUAAGUGAUUCACAUCCUCGUCCUUCUGCUUACAUAGUUGACAAAUAAGUUUUACAUUUUGUAAGAGGUGCUAAAGAAAAAUCACAAUUUCAUAAGGAAUAUCACGAUUCCACAACCACUUCCAAUCAAAGUGAAGUGUAGUUUCUAUGCCUUCAUAUGAAUUCAUAAGGAAUAUCACGAUUCCACAACCACUUCCAAUCAAAGUUAAGUAUAGUUUCUAUGCCUUCAUAUGAAUUCAUAAGGAAUUUAGGGUUUAAGGAAGUUGUCUAAGCUUGUAUACGCUGACUUCAUAUGAAUUCAUAAGGAAUAUCAAUGAAUGCGUUCAAAUGAAUUCAUCUUUCCCUUCACUAGGAGAGUACUUAGUUCCUUACCCUAACCAUUCUAAGCACUUUGAUUGAUACACUUUGGGACUUUAACAUAAGACAAUCAAUACGAAGGUAGAGAUGCAAAUUGGGAGUAUACCAUUGUAACAACCUGACAUUAGUCAAAGUCAGAAAAUACGGUUUCAAAACUCUAUUUCCGUAAACUGAGUCCAAAAAGACAAAAUAAGAAUAUUUAUGGAGUUUAUAGAAAAUAUAUUAAAGAUCGGUUAAGUAAUUUAACCGAGAAACUCAUUAAUUAAAGCUCAGGUGUUAAAUUGCAAUCGCUAUUGAAUUUUAAAUUGAAAAUGCUUGAAGACCAAAUUAACAAUUAGUCAAAGGACCAAAUGGUUAUUUAACCAUUAAUUUGAAAAGAGUUUUAAUUAAUGUAUUUUAAUUAAGUUUUGGAAACCUAUUUGCUUGUAUGAAUCGUCGAGUAGGUAUUAAAACAAAAUCAUAAUUGCUUCUACCACAAAUGUGGCAUUUCAUGUUUCGGACCGAACGACCGGGUCGUGUGCAAGGUCUUACAACCAUUGCCUUAAACAUAAAGGCUUCCAAUGUGCUCAUUUAUUUUUGCAAUAUAUCAAUAGGGGUUGGAAAAACUUUCUUGUUACAAAGGUAACCCAACUAGAUUCCAAGAGUUUUGGGGUCGCUCUACUCGUUUGAUUCCUACAUAUUCGAAAACCACCGCUUUUAUUGACUCCUACUUGAUAGACUAAGAUAUAAAUAAAGAUUUUCUAUAAUUGAUGGACAAACUUGAUAUUCCUCCAAAAUUCCCUUCCCUUAUUUUGUAUUCCUAAUUGCAUGCAUAAGUUCAACCCCUAAGAAAAUAUUAUCAAUAAUACGUCUCCCUUAUGGUGUAAUCAAUCUUGACUAGCCCCUUCAAUCUACUCACUGAAACUUUUGUUCAAAUUUUAUAAACCACAUUAUACAGGCUAAUUGGACAUUACCUUUAUCCUCAAGAUACGAGUGAUCUACGGUCUUAAAUUCUUUCAAUAAAAAACCAAAACAUGCUUGAGUUAUGAGAGGACCUACAAUAUCCCAGAACAUGCUAUCAAUCCCGGCAGCUUUAGAGCAUCAUUUUAAAAUAUAUACCACCUUUACUAUUUCUUCUGGUCUAAUCACCCCUCAAAGAUAGUUUAUGGGGUAAUCGUAAAAAAAAAAAAGAAAGAAAGAAACCCAUCAAUAAGAAAUAAAAAUAUCAAUUAAACUUUCAAUUCAACUCUUGUAGCUGAAAAAAUUAAUCAACGAAACCUUAAACUAACAUUGAUCGUGACAUUUUUAUUGACUUUGACUAAAAUAGUAAUAAUACAUAACAUAUCAUAUGGACUGCAUAUUGACAUGGCAUUUUUUACGCAUCAAGCAAAUAUUUAAAAAAUCGUUAACAAAUAGAUACAUUUUUUUAAAAAUAAUUAUUUAAAAUAAUAUAUCUAGAAUAAACCUAAAUAAACAACUAUCCACAUUCAUUUGAAUCUAGAUAACUAUUUAUCCAGACUCAUCUUGAACUUGAUUCCUUUGAUAAUUACUAAAAAUUAAAAAAAAAGAAUAUAAAAGAAACUUUUUAAUAAUUAUAAGUUAUUAAAAUUAUUAAAAACUUAUAAAAGAUAUUAAAAACCACUGAGAUGAACCUAGACUCUUUUUUUUUUUUUUCACUUAACACGUACAAAACUAAUUUUCAUAGAAAACCAAAAUAAAAUUGUCAACAUUAUAAGGAUUAAACAAAAUUUUUACUGUUUUGCUCAAAAUACAAUCGACAAAUACUUAAAAAAUGAAAGCCCCAAAAUGAAUUCUAAAGCAUUGAAUACAAACAUUCACAUUGAGAAUAAGAAGUUACAUUGAAGCGUCACUAUAAAUAUAGUUGAAUGAGCUCAUCACUAAUCACGGAAGGAGUAAGCACACCCAAGUCUGUAUAGAGUAGAGUAAGAUAUUGAGGAGGAGUGUAAUCUCGAGCCGAUCUUUUUACCUCAACCUUGGAUGGGAUUAGUACCCCAAAAUCAAUGGGGUGUCGCGCAGGACUCAUAUCUUUUUGGUCCUAAGGAUAAUGUCGAGCAAACUACAAGGGAGAAGAAAUUCACAACUGAGUUAUGCUAGCCGGUAGUCUGAACCCUUCUUUCUAGGUUCGUUGUAUGUAGCCUAUUUCUUUGCUCGGAUUCAAAUACUUAAGAGCAAGAAAUGAAGCUUUUUAGUUACCUUGUAGCAUUCUGCAGCCACAUAAACAGGCUUGUUCAUGCUAUGUGCCACAAAUGCAAUCCGGAAUGGCGCCAUCAUGUUAAUGAUACCUUCACUUUCAACCACUCCAUCAGCUCCAAAGAGUACCAUGUCCACCUCAUCCAUAGUGUAUGCCACAGCAGAGUCUAUUAAAAGCUUUACGGGAACAUCAAGGUUGGCCAGCUCAUUAGAAAAUCGUAAUCCAGUUCUAUCUGGCCUUCCUUCUGUUUUAAAACAAUGUGAACUCUUUCAUAAACACCGCCAUCUGAUAUGACUUAGUAGAACAUAUGCAAAAAAAAAAAGAAGAUAAAAUGACUAGACUUCUUUUUUGGUGACAGCACAUUUGGUUUAAUCCUGUUAAGAAUUAGUUGCAUGCACAUGACAAGGUACACAGAAAGUAAAACCUGUGCAGAGAACUCUAAAAGUGUUUCUUGUUUUCAGCUGCUGUCUUCAAUACUUCGAGAACAACUCUAGAGAAACCAUGUACCAAAAUGGUACAACCAUCAAAAAUAAAAUCUUGACUUAGCAUUGCAAUAAUCCUGCGAGCCUACAAUGUUUGGCAAUAAUGUCUUUCAACAUCAGGAAUGCUUCAAGUAUAAUUAAAAUGAAAUGAAACAGUAGAGAAGUAAUUUACUAGAAAAGCCACAAUUUAUCUGAAAUACCUUACAAGAUAUUUCCCCAAACUUCUCUGCACGUUCGAUCAGGCGAGACUUAGCUGAAUUAAAGUCCUCAUACUCUAAAGCUGAUGUUCUUGUUACAUACAACAUGAAGAGAUCACAACCAGCUGUCAACGAGAUAGAGGUUGUGUCCCAUGACUGGCAAUACAAACAUAAGCUUGAUGAUGAAAUUGAGAUGUUGAUGGGUGUUUAAAGGUAUUUUAUUAAGGAAUUUUGGAUGAAAUCAUGUUUUAGGGAUUAAUUAGUAAAGUUGUUGAAUUUAUGUGAAAUUCUAAAAUUUCAUCGAAUUUAUGGGAUGCUAUUGAUAUAUGUGAAAGUAUUUAGGCUUGGAAUAAGGAAUAAAUUACUUAAAUUUCAAUUUUCGAGCCUAGGGAUGAAAUCGUCAUUUAGUAAAAGUAUAGGGGCAAAAUAAUAAUUUUGCCUAAGAUGUGACUUGGAUAGAAUUGAAUGUAAAUUUUAUUAAGUUGAUGUUAAAUUUACUCAUAUAGAUCCGGAUAGAUCAAAUACGAAGCUAGAUCGAGGUAAAGAAAAAGUGACGGAUUAGUAGACAUCAAUUCACAAACACUUGUCGAGAUAAGUUCGUGUAACUAAAUUGUGUAUAUUUAUAUGCUUAAAUUUGAAUAUUGAAUAUGUAAAUUGUAUAAAUGUCAUGUAUGUGUAUAUAAUUUACCUCAUAUCCGAUAAUUCCUGAUAAAUGAGUCAUGUAUGUGUAUAUAAUUUACCUCAUAUCCGAUAAUUCCUGAUAAAUGAAUAAGUCCCAUAAAAUGAAUGAAACUCGAUUGGAUACAGGGUUCUGUUUCCCAAUAUGGUAAUGUUCCUGCAUAUGUUGCAAACGUCCGUAUCUCGAAAGAGCGUCCCGUUACAAGCCCUCUCAAGCUUCCCGUUAUAGUGUUCUUGCGAGCUUCCCGUUAAAUGCUCUUCUGAGUAUCUCGACUGGUUGUGUUCUGCAUAUGUUGUAGACACACCCACGCUCUUAUGGGUGUUCUGUUUAUAGGUUCUUUGUGAACCUCCUGUUAAAGUGCUCUUCGGAGCUUCCCGUUAGUGCUCGCUUGAACUUCCCGUUAUAUGACUAUCCGGUGCUCUCUGUUAAAGUGCUCUUUGGAGCUACCCGAUAUAGGCUCUUUGUGAGCUUCCUGUUGUUAAGCCCAGAAAAGCUUCCCGUUAUAGUGCUUGAGAGAGAGCUUUCUGUUUAAGUGCUCUAAUGAGUACUCGACAUGAAUUGACAGAUUUCUGAUUUAUACACUUUAUGUGUGUAACAGCCCGAUCUUGACCCUAAUCGGAACAGUAGUUUUGGGACCACAAAUUCGAGUCUAAAAAAAUAUUUUAAUAUUAUUUUCUGUGUUAAUUAUGUGUGAAUUUACAUGUGUGAAAGUUUCGUAAAUUAAUUUUAUUGUUUGUGUGCUUAAUUUGAAAAAAAAGGGGCUUAAUCGCGUAAAAUGAAAAUUUGAUGGCUAAUUAAGAAAGUGCCUAAUUGUUGUUGUCUUUAUAAGUUGGAGGCCUUAUGUUGUAAUUUAGCCAAUAAUAAUAGGUAGUGGAUGGCAUAAUGAUGAUAUGUGAUUUAUAUAUAUAUAAAAUAAAAGUUAAAAUAAUAUUAAUAUAAUAAUAUAUGUUAUAAUAAAACAAAACAUUAAAAGCCACUAUUUUUUUUAUGUUCAUCUUUCUUCACCGAAUGGAGAAAAGAAAAACAAGGUUUGAAAGCUUGAAACAUUCGGCCAUUUUGAAGCUUAAUUCAAGGUUGGUUUUUGUUCGGUUUUUGAUAAUUUUUACGUUUUUGAGAUCGUUGCUUUGAAUACUUCAAAACCCAUGUCUUAAUUUUGUGAAUUGUUGAUGAUUUUGAGAAAUGCCAUUGAUGAAUGCUUGAGCUUUGUGAUAGUUGAUGAUGAAAUAUGAAAGAUAUGUGAAAGAUUAACAUGUUUGUCUUUGAAUUUUUGAUGAAUUUGAGUAAUUAGGGUUAAAUUGUAAAAAUAAAUUUUUGAGGGACUAAAAUGUGAAAUAAAUGAAAUGUGUGGUCUUGUAUGGACACUAGGAAUAUUUGGCCCUUAAGGAGUGUAGUCAAAUUUUGUGUAUUUUGUGUUUUGAGCAAAAAGGACUAAAUUGUAAAAAGUGUGAAAUGUUAGGGGCAAAAUUGUAAUUUCCCAUUUAUGUGUUUUUAGGCUAAAUUGAAUAGAAUGGUGUUUAACUAAGCUUAAUUUGAAUAUGCUUAGAUUAAGAAUUAAAGAAAUCUAAUUUGGAUCGAGGAAAGACAAAAGUGGUGGAGUAGCCGAUUUAACAGUCGACGACAUCCGAGGUAAGUCUAUAGGCAUAUAAAUGUCGUUAAAUUUGAUAAUAUAUAUGUUACAUGUUGGAUGGAAUUUUUGUGAAUAUAUUUGUGUAUGGCCGAAUGUAUAUUGAGCAAAUGAGCUAUAUUCGAGUUCGAUUCGAUCGAGAUACGUUAUCCGAAAGUCCCGUACGAACCCUAGGAAUAGAUAGGAUACAUAUGUCAUGGCAUAGGAUUUUCGAUAUGUGUUAUCGUGUAAGACCACGUCUGGGACGUUGGCAUCGACUUGUGUUUACGUGUAAGACCCUGUCUGGGACAAUGGCAUCGAUAUGUGAUUACAUGUAAGACCACGUCUGGGACGUUGGCAUUGUACGAGUCUUCCGACUAUCCGAGUAUCCUUUUUAAUUCCGAAUGGUUCAACGGGAAAAGAUAAGUUGUGUACGAAUGUAUAAAUCGGGCUAAGUGACCAGGUAUGUGAUAGUUAAUUACCUAUUUGAAAAUAAGGCAAGUUGUAUACUUGAAUUGAUGAUAUGAAGUUAUGUGAAAUAUGGAUUAUGUUAUUGCAUAUUUGAAUAUAUAUGUAUUCGACCUUGAUGUAUAUGUGCAUUGAGGAAAGUGAUGAUUGGUUAUAUUAAUGUUCAAUGGAUUAUUCAGUAAAGAGGGAAGUUAUUACAAAUUAUAUAAGUUUUGAUAUAUAAGUUGAUAAAUUGAAUUAUAUGUGAAAUUAUAAUGGUUUAUUACUAAUUGUCUAGCUCAAUUUAUGUAAAUGAUUAAAUGUUUAUUUGCUUAUGAAUACUAAGCUUUAAUAGCUUACUGUGUGUAAUUGCUUUCAAUUUUAUAGAUUUGGAAGUUGGUUAAGAGCGGGGAUCGUCAGAGAAGUCUAUCACACUAUCGACUAUUUUCGGUAUUUUACUAAGUUUGAAUUUAAACUUAUGGCAUGUAUAGUCUAGUUAAUAUGUUUGAUUUUUGGGGAUGUAAAUAUGAGCCAUGCGAAAAUGGCUUAUUUAUUUUGUUAAGCAUGGUUUUUAUGCUUUCGAUCAAGUGAUAGAUAUGUUGAUUUUGGUAUUUCGGCUAUGGCAUAUUUAUUUAUGUGAAUUAUGUUUGAUAUAUUUUGUUAAUAAGGUGGUAAAUAAUUCGGCAUAGGUGAGCUUAGUUAAAGCAUAUAAUUGAAGUGAGUUUCGUAUAAUAUGUUAAUCUCUGAAUCGGCCAUGGUAUAUAUAUUAUGGUGUUUUAGUCAUGUGCUUCGGUAAUGAGGUAAAUGAUAUUCAAGCUUAAUUAAUCUUGGUUAUGUGUUAUAUAUAUAUAUGAUAUGUGUGAUAUGUUUGGUUUUGGUCUUGGUGUUUCGGCUAUGGUUUAUUUAUAAGUAAAUAUAUGUGAAUCUUGUUUGAUAUGCUUUGUUAAGGUAUUGUUAUGUAAUUUAGUAAUUAAGUGAACUCGGUUAUGGCAUAUAGGUGAAAUGCUAAGUAAAUCAUAGAUGAAAUGACAGUUAAAUUUGGUUUGUAAGAGUAUAUUUGCAUUAAUAAAUUGAUUUGAAAGAAACUAGUAAUGUGCAUAGGUAUGUACGAUUAUAAGGUAUGGAAGAAUAUGUGUAUAUUUGGUCAUGAUCUAGACCUGUUUUGGAAGUGUGUUUUAUGCUAUAAAUUGGUGUAUGGAUAUAGGUUUGGAAAAUGUGAAUUGAUAUGUAUGAUUUUACUAUUUGAAUCGAUAUGGUUUGAUUAGUAAAUGCCAUAUUUUGACUUAUGAUUUAAUGACUAAAUCUUGUACAGUUUAUGAGGUUAUUUAUGGAUGCCAAUUUGUUAUGAAAUAAAUUAGGAAUGUCGAGUAUUUAAUAAAGGUACGAUUUGCUCAUGCAAGUGGACUUAAUAUUCGAUUUUAUAUUUGUAAAAUGAUAUGAAUUGUAUGGAUUUUUGGAUAUGGCUAAAAUGGUGUAUUCAUAUGCGCAAACUUGUAAUAGAUAAAUAUGAAUGUUUUGGUCUUUUGAAUGAUAUAUAUAUAAAUGAUUUUAAGGUAGGUUUAAAAUUUAUGAAUAAGAUACAAACAAAUUCGGGUAAUGAUAGUUAAGUGAGUAAAACAAGUUUGAAUUUAGCUUUUAUAAAUUUAUUGGAUUAGUCAAUUAAAGGAUAAGUUGAUUUGUAUUGAGCGUAUAUAAUUUAUGAUUGAAUGAUUUCACUGAAAUGGUCAUAUGUGUAUAAUAUAAUGGCAUAAAAGGUAUGUACGACCAUAAUAUAAUGUUACUAAUGUUGUAUAUGUGAUUGGACAUUAAGUUGUAUACAUAUUGGUUUCAUUAUGUACAUAUACAGAAGUUAUGAAAUGCAAUGUUUGAUAUUUAGAUAGUAAAAUUAUGUACGGAAGUAUUUUCUAUAUAUGAAAAGUGAAGAUAUAUGCUUGAAUAUGAUUUAAUUAUGAAAAUGUCAUUAAUACGAUGGAUUUAGGGAAAUCGAAUAUUGAAAGUAUUUUAAUUUAACAUGACUCUGAUGUAUACAAGUUUGGUUCGAAUUUGUUAAUUAUAGAAUAUGUUCAUUGAGCUUUGAUGUAUGUUUAAAUUGAAUUAGUUUAAAUUUUGAAAUGUGUUUAUUUGUGAUACAUGCUUAGUAAGGUAUGAUUGAUUUGAAUUGUAAUUAUCAUUUUAUACAUAUUUGAAUUUAAAAUAAGUAAAAUGAGGAUAUUCAAGUUUGAUAAUGUUAUAAAUGAAUCGUUAUUCUUUGGUGUAUGAAAGGAGGUAAAUGACUGUGCUGAACUGUGUCUUGUUCGGUAAUGCCUUGUAACCCUAAUCCGAUGACGAAUACGGGUUAGGGGUGUUACAAUAUGUACUACCCUCGUAUCCAUCGAGAUUUCAAAUGAUUCAACAGGUGAAAUUCUGACAUGAAGACAAGUGAAAAUUAAAAUGAAAUCAAUAUAUGAAAAAUACAUGAAAUGCAUGGAACUUGGUAUUUGAUGAGCUCAUCUUUGGUGUUGAUAUUUACAUGAAAUGAAUAACUAACAUAUUUGAUGAGAUUAUGUACUUAGGCUAUGGCCAAGUUGUUUGGAAUGCAUGAGUAUGUUUACUUAGUGUACAAAUGAAUGGUAAGUUUACUUCCCGUUAUACGAACUUACUAAGCACUAAGUGCUUACUCUGUUUUAUAGUAAUCGGAAGCUCGUUGGGUUGGAAGCUUGGCGGAGAUCACUCACACUAUCCAUUGGCUCACUUUGGUAUAUUUAUGACACUAUUUUUGGAUAUAAUGGCAUGUGUAGGUUUGGUUAGCCAAAGUUGGCAUACAAAUAUUUUGGUUGUAAAUAGCCAUUGGAAUGGCUUGUGAUGAAUGUGUUUUGGCAUAUUAACAUAUGAGUUAAUUUCAUGUUUGGUAUAAGUGCUUAAUUUGGUUUAUGAAUAUUAGUAUGAUAUUAAGUAAAUGUGGUCAAAUAUAUAAAUUCACAAACAUGGAUUAUGAAGUGAUAUGGUAAGUAUGAGACUUGAGUUUUGCAUGUUUUUAAAUGUUUUAGAUUGACUUUUGGAUGUGUUAAAAUGUUUGUAUAGGUGAGUGAUCAAAUGGGUGAGAAAUAAGGCUUGGAAAUGACAUUAUUUUGUCCACACGGGCAGAGGCACGAGUGUGUGUCUUAGUCGUGUGUGACACACGGCCUAGCACAUGGGCAUGUGUUCUAGCCAUGUGUCCCUUGCAUUUUAAAAUUUUAAAAUAGAGCACUUGAAAUUGAUCACACGGUCUGGCACACGGGCAUGUGACUUAGCCGUGUGACCCCUGCACUUAAUUAAGUUGCAAGUCAGAGAGUUACACGGGUUAGAGACACGGGCGUGUGCCCUACCUCAUAUACCACACGGCCUAAGACAUGGGCAUGUCACUUGGCCGUGUGAGCCACAUUGCUUGACCACACAAGCGUGUGACCCCUGAACCUAGGAAAAAUUUUGAAAUUUUGUAAAAAUUCUCUAAGUUCCCGAUUCAGUCUCGACUCAUUUCUAAUGUAUGAUUUGGGCCACGAAGGCCUAUAGAAGGGACGAUAUGGUUAAACCCUGUUCCAACGACGGAUACGAGUUAGGGAUGUUACAUUAUCGCCUUUCGGUUACUUAACCUAAUAAUUCAAAGGAUUGCUUAAAACUAAAAUUGACUAACUAAAAUAACUAACGAAUGUGUCAAAUAGCAAAACACGAAAAUAAUCUAAUAUCAUCCGAUUUACUAAACGAUACCCACGUACGAAUCCACUUAGAAUUCAUCUAAAAUUCUCAAUUUAAUUUAUGCAAUUUAUUUCCUUAGUUUCCUUGAUCCAUAGAAAUCCCUAACUUAUGCUAAUAUCUCUUUCGAGCAUAAAAGCAACUAACUCUAGGUUGAUUAAUUGAAAUUUCCUUCUAAUUAAAACCCUUAUUAUCUCAUUAAUUCACUCUAUGGAUUCUCUUAUUAGAUUUGAUUCUAAUUUGGUAGAUUUGUAUCGACCUAUUUCUAGGAUUAUAUGCAACUCCAUUCGACUAUGCAAAAUCUAAUUACAAGAAGGGUCUAUUCAACCUCAAACUCAUGCCCAUCAAACAUGGAUUAAGACCCUAGAAAUAUUAACCCAAGAAAAAAUUUAGAAUUCAUAAUUGAAAAUAAAGAAGCUAAGAUUUUAUUGCAUAAAACUAUAAAUCAAAUAAUAUCAUCCAUCGUAAGGCUCGUCUCCUCUAGGGAUUUAGAAAAUUAGUUCAUACUUGCAAGAAUAAACACCGAUAAUACAAUAUAACCAUUAAAAUAAAAGAAACCUAUGAUAACUUCCUCAGAAAUCAAUUUGGAAUCUUUAAUUUUGAUGGAGAACUGCUUUGAAAUCAACUUCAAUGGUGUUCUUUUGGGUAAUUUUCGUGCUAAACCAAGACGGAUGUUGUUUUCCCUUUUUUAUUUCCUUAUAUAUGCCUUCUUAAAGUACCAAAAACUUAAAAAUUUAAACUUCCGACUAUCAUUGUACACGGUUCCCAAAAGUUACACACCCUUGCCACACACCCUUGUGGUUCACAUAGCUUUGUGGUCUGGCUGUGUGAAAAUCUGUUACCCGUGUACAGCUUCCAGACUGCUUCAAUGUUAUGAUUUUCACUUGUUUUUCGCUCUAUUUGUUCCCAAGUUCUCUAUUAAGCUUCAAAACAUGAAUUUAAAGGAUUAUAAGUAUAUAAUUCACAAUUAACACCACUUUAUUACCCAAAAAUGCACUAAGAAUGAGGCUAGAAUAUGUUACUUUUGACACUUAUCAAAUAUCCCUAUACUUAAGCAUUUAUUUGUCCUCAAGCAUAGGUCUCGGCUCACAUUCAAAUUAACUUUCCUUCACCCAUUAUUUUCACUAGUCAUGGCUUAGGAUAGUCUAUAUAUAAUUCGAAAAUUAAACUAAAAUGACAAUAAAGAGCAUGAGUAAUCCAAGCAAAAAUUUUAAUUUCAAAACAUAGGAUUCUCCCCUACCUUAUAAUGACUUGAAAUUCAAACCCAACCAGAUUUAACAUCCUUACUAAGUUUCACUCAAAACACUCAAAGUGUUUAAAGGUUAAUUAAUAUGCACUCAAUAGUCAAACAAGGAAUGUUAUUACCAUAAGCUUGCUUAAGAACCAAAUCUCCACCACUACAAAUAUGAGAUGACACAAAGAUCAAGAGGUUUUUACAAGGGUUGUAACGGGGAUUAGGUUAAGAGUAUAGAAGGUAUAAAAGGUGAAUAUAGUUGAGAGUUGAAAUGAUAAGUUACCAAACUAAAAGAAUAAGAUGCUGAAUUGCAAAAAUUUAACAUUAAAGUGAAACAAAGAAUUGAAGUGAGCUUUUAUAUAUGGUGAUGAUGAUGAUUUAAGCUCAAAAAAAAAAAGAUAAUGAUGCUUAUAACAUGAAUAUUGACCUCUCAAUUGAACAAGAUAGCCUAAAGAAUUUUUAGAAUGAUCGAACAUAUCUAGGAAAUUUACCAAAAAUCUAAUCUCAAUUUAAGGGAAGCAAUAAAAAAGGUAAUUCACAAAAUUAUUGGGGUUUAAGGGUUAAAAUGGAGGGGGUGAUAAACAAACAAAAAGGGAUUAGGCUCAAAGGGGUUUACUAGUGGGCAAUGAAAUGGGUAGGCUAUUUAAAUGUUAAAUGGUUUAAAUCUUAAGUAUUUCUAUCAUCUCAGUAUAUCAAAUCAUUAUAUUUGAGAAUUCACAACAAAUGUUGGAUCUCGGUAACAUUUGUAAUCAAUCUCAUACAAGUGCGCACAAGACCUUAUUUACAUGCCAAUUUUAUCCUGACAUUUACUAAGUUCACAUGAGCAUCUCUUACACAUAUAAAUAUAUAUUUUCAAUUUAGUCCAAUUCCAACAUUUAGAACCAAUCAAUAAAUCCACAAUCACACACUUAUACACAAAUCAAAUCAAUUAAUUAUUUUAAAUAUAAUUAUUUUUAGUAAAAAUAAAUUUUAUAUGUGAAAUAUUUAUUUUUUUUCCAUCCAUAUAAUGGGUCUGACAAAUUUUAGUAUUAUAUAUUUUUAUGUGUAUUUUAGAUAAUUAUUUGAAAUAUUUUACAUAUAAAAACAAUGAUAUUUGAAAUAAUUAUUUUUAUAAUAUUAAAAUUUACCAUACUUGCAAUAUAGGUGAAAAUAUAUUGAUAUUUGUAAUAGUUAUUUGAAAUAUUUCACAUAUAUUUGAAAUAAUUUUUUGAAAUAAUUUACAUAUAAAAUCAAUAGUGAUAUUUGAAAUAAUUAUUUGAUUUUAUAAUAUUAGAAUCUACAAUAUCCACAAUGUAGGUGAAAAAAAAAUAUUUCACAUAUAAAAAAUUAUAUUUACUAUUUACUAAAAAUAAUGAUAUUUGAAAUGGUUAAUUGAUUUUUUUAUAGUAGAAUUUAUCGUACUUACAAUGCAUAUAAAAAAAAUAUUUGAUGUAUAAAAAUUAUAUAUAUAGAAAAAUAUAAAAAAAUUAGUUGAUGUUUUUUAAAAAAUAAAAAAUAAAUAACAUAAUGAUACUUAUGAAUAUAUUUUCACUAUAUCCACAAUGCAAGUGGAAAAAAAUAAUGAUAUUUGAAAUAAUUAUUUUUAUAAUAUUAAAAUUUAUGUUACCCACAAUGUACGUAAAAACAUUUUUUUUAUAUAAAGAAUUAUUUAUAAAGAAAAAUAUAUCAAAAAAUUAGUUGAUGUUUUUAAAAAUACAUAUAAUUUUAACAUAAUGAUACAUAUGAAUAUAUAUUCAUCAUAUCAAUAAUGUAAGUGAAAAUAUAAAGAGAUUUGAAAUAAUUAAUUUUAUAUGUUAGAAUUUACGAUACCCACAAUGUACGUAAAAAAAUAUUUGACAUAAAAAAUAUAUAAAGAAAAAUAUAUCAAAAAAAUAGUUGAUGUUUUUAAAAAAUAAAAUAUAUUAACAUAAUUAUAUAUAAAUUAUUUUCAUUAUAUAAUUACAUAUUUAUUAUUUUGUGUGUAUAAAUAAAGAAGUGAUUAAUUAAAAUAAAAAGUUAAUUGAAGACUUGAAAAUAGCAUGCUUAUUAAUUAAAAAUUAAGAAAAAAAAGCUUGAAGAAAUAUUCAUUAGGAAAAAAAAAAUAAUAUAUGGGGGGGGAUUCGGAUAUGGGACUUAAGGGUAGAAAAUGCUAGAAAAAUAAUGAGGUCCUUGGAAGUAAUAAAUAUUAAUAUUUUGAUAUUUUAUAAAAAAUUUAUAAACUAUAUAAGCAUAAUAGGAUUUGAACUUAAGUUACUAUGACUUCAACGAUCUUAUUCUUGUUAUCAGAACAUUAUUUAUUUCUUUUUAUAAACAUUUACAUAUAUUUUUUUUAGAUCUAACAAACAGGGAAGGCAUUUGGUAAAUUUCUGGAUUUGCAGUAUUUUUUUCUUCAAGCUAAUUAAUUCAAUUUUGUAUGGUGUUAUCCAGGAAGAAAUAGAUCAACAAAAAUGGGAGCUGAGGAGCCUGAAGAGAACAUCACUCACAUGGAUGCUUGGCUUUAUAAGGCAGCAGCAGAAGGCAACAUUGAAGUAUUCAAUAAUAACCAGCGGCUUCAACUUGAGCCGCUAAAGACCCCAAACCAUGACAACCUGCUCCAUGUUAGCUUGGCAACCCAGGAGAAUGCUGUCUGGCUUUUUAACAGCGUUCACUCAAUAUUCAAAUCGUCCCCGCACAAUAUGUAUUCUCCCUGAUAGAUUUUGUAUCACACGAUCCGGGUUUCAAUAUUUUCGUAACUGUGAUAAGAAGAGACAAAAUAUCUGAUUUUAUCAGACAAAUUCUGUUGGGACAAUGGCAGCAGCAAAAAGAAAAGAACAAGACAGAGAACAAAGGAGGAAGAAACAAAAACAAUUUACUUGCUCACAAACGUGCAACAAGGAAGCAAUCUGAGUUUCACAACUGAUAUGCUUGAUUUUUCAAUAAGAAAAACAAUACAUUUAUAGCCAACUACAUCAGUUAUUAUUACCUAAUACCACUAAGUAGCCUAGUAACUUUAAAAACAUUGCUUACACAAACAAGCCACCUAAACUAGUCAUUCAACACCUAAACAUAUUAAGCUGUCAUAAGCUUGUUCAUUUCCAAGUAGUUUAAUCAACAAAGAAACUAAAAAGAAAAACUUGUUGUUACAGCAAGUAUAUGUGCUGCAGCAUGUCAUCAAGCUGCAUGCACUUCAACCAAAACAUGUAUCAGCAGCAUGGUUGGCCAAUUUCAACACUCCUCCUUGGACUCCAUGCUGCAAAUACCAAUCAUUCAUCAAGUUUUUUGAACUUGGCAACCCUUAGAUGCUUUGUUUCAAGCUGACCAAUUCAUUUUCAACCUUGGCCUCAUUCACAAACAAAUCUGACUUACACACUUGACUAUCCCAGUCUUUUGUGCCAAAGAUUUGUUCACCAAAUGGAGUCUUCUUGAUACGGGGUUGCGCGCGGACCAAGAUCGAGUUGCCAAGUCACGGGAAACUCCUACGAAAACCCUAAACAAUUAGAUCUGAAACGAAACAGAAAAUUAAAAGAUUAGAUUUUUGAAUUUUCAGAUCUGAAAUAAAAUCCCCAAAUCAGCAAAGAAUCAAAUUGAGAAUAGAAAUAAGUGUUAGGGUUCUUGAAACCCUCAAGGAGAUUGUGAUUCUGCCCAAUUGAACACCAAGAUAGUUUUCCCCAAAUUUCGACAAUCUAAUUUCACCCAAAAAGAGUAUGGAAAACCCUAGAAAUUGGAGAUUUUUGGGCUGAUUCCUUAAGAUAGAAAAAGGCUGAAAACACAAUAAGAACAGAAAAUAGAUUAGAUAAUGAUUCAGCACAAGUAGAAAUAAAGAAAGAAUUGACAGUAAGAAAUUAAAAGAUAAGUCCUAAGAAGCCUUGAAAUCUCGAAAGAUCUCACAACUCCCUUCAAACGACUCUAAUCUCCCCUCCAAAGAAUAUCAAUGGCAAGAAGAAGGUUGAAGAUGGCUCCCACAAUCAAAAAGAUUGUUAAAACAACUUCUAAAGAAAACUCAAGAGAAAAUCCUUGAAGAACUCAAAGAGAAUUUUCACUCAAAUCAAAUCUGAAAUUUUCAAUGUAAUUGUAAUGUAGUGUAGGGUGGCUGGCCAAGCCAUAUAAAUAGGCCUUUCAAAUGUUUUCCUAAUUUAAUUAGAACACUAAAACUAAAACUAAAAAAAAAAACUCCUAAUUAUUUUAAUAUGAAAAUUCGGCCAAGGGUCUUUUAUUUGGGACUCCUGGACUGAAUAUAAAUAAAUAAAUAAAUAAAAAUAAAACUUUACAACUUGGGCCACUUUGACAAUUUGGCUUGAUUUUCAACUAAGUAUGGGUGGAUUUCUUGAUUGGGCUUGGAAUCUUCUUAUUGGGCCUCGCCUUCAAGAAUUUGGGCUUUUGUGACUCGUAUCAUUCCCCCUUCCUCAAAAAGAUUCGUCCUCGAAUCUGAAAAAUCAAAUGAACUCGACUUUCCUCUAUCGAACGGGACUAAUGGCAAUUGAGUCCACUGAAAAGAAUAACCAUGAGAUAGUAAAUAGCAACGGAAACAAGCUUGUAGUCCAAUCAUAAGCAUAACAGAACAGGUAUAACGCAUGUGAAUGGACAGAUUCAGAUUACCAUGCAAACAAUCUAAUUUACUCACCACUGUCUCGUCAAAUAUUUGAAACAAAGAUGGACAUGUUUUAAGGCAUUCAGUCGUCUCACAUUGUUCGCACAAACCAUGAAUAAAUUGCGAGUAAUAAAUCAAAUGGUAAACAUAAUCGUCACAAGUAGGUAUUUGAAAAGAUUCACAUGGUUCACAGAGUUGCAUAAUCAUACCAUGCAUUAAUCGACGGUCUAUAGAUUCACUCACACAUGCAUUAUCAAAAACAAGAAUCUUUUUAUCAACCAUCAAAACAGAUAGAUCAUCAAUAAAUAAAAUAGGACAGUUAAGCACGUUUCGAUCUAAGUGUUCAUCAACACGAUCUUUAUCACUAUCCGAGGAGUACAAAAGUGUUUCAAAGGUUUCAAGCAUCUUACCUCGAUAAGCAGAAGAAUAAGGGUCGAUUUUACCUUUUUCAUUUAAAACAAACCUUCGCUCAUCGGGGGCAUAGUGUAAUCGAAUCUCCGUUGUUGAGUUAACCUUUGUCAAAUGGAACUCAAACUUCAUGUACAACGACAUAAACUGUUUAAGGCACGAAUAUAAAUUGAAAACAAAUUUGGAAAAUUUCGUUACCUUAUUCUCCAAAACAGAUUUGGACAAAUUCGAGGAUUUUACACAAGGUAAAUCAAGAGAAUAACAAAUCACGCUUCUUUUCGUAAUGACUUUAUCAACCACAAUCGAAGAGUAACAAUUAAUCGAAUCAAAAUGAGGGGAUCUUUUAAGAACUAAGUCACCAAAAGUUUUAUCAAUAAUUUUCAAAUCUGCACUGGACUCGGUUUCUAAAAUUUCCUUACCUCGCUUACCUUCAGGAUCAUGUAGUGUGAUUUCAUCUUUGCCUAAGUUGAUCGUAUGAAAGCGUCUUUCAUUUGAGAGGUAUUGAAGUUGAAAGUUAUCUUUUGAUCUUUCGGGAACCUGAAAAGUAGCAACACAAGAAAAAUUCAUAUCUUGGUUAGUGGAAACAUUCCUCACUACCCUUUCCAUGUCUUUUUCUUUUGUUUCUUUUUUUAAUUCAUUUUCUCUUCUUUCUUCAAUUUCUUUUUCAAUCUCAAUCUCUUUUUGCUCUUUUUCAUUCUCUUUUUCUUUUUCCUCACUUGUUUUAACAGAAUUUUUCAGUUUGAUUUGGUCCUCAUGGACUUGUUCCGGAGUGAGCGGCACUAAGGUGAGUUUCUUUCCUUGAUGCUUGAAAGAAUACCUAUUGGUACGACCAUCGUGAGUGACUUUUCGAUCUAGUUGCCAUGGUUCUCCUAGCAACAAAUGGCAGGCUUGAAUAGGCAUUACGUCGCACACAACUUCGUCUUGAUACUUACCGAUAGAAAAGGCGAUGCGCACUUGUUGAGUGACCCUAAAUUGGCCUUUGUUGCUAAGCCCUUGUAGUUGAUAAGGUUGUGGAUGCUUGGUAGUGGUUAAGCAAAGCUUUUCCACCAUCGUCGUGCUGGCUAUGUUCGAGCAACUUUCACCAUCAAUAAUAACUCUACAAAGCUUACCUUGUACAUGGCAGCAAGUAUGAAAAAGAUGUUCUCGUUGCUGCUCGCUCUUUGGUUUUGCCAAAGAUGAUUGUCCACGAUCAUGAAAAUCAUCAUCCAUUCUAGGGACACGUUGAGGGCUGCACCUAUAGGGCUGGUUAUCCCUAUCUUCCUUAAUUGGAUCUCGAUAUUGAUGUUUUUGAUUCACUCGUACCUCAUUCAAAGUAGUAUUCAAUGCUUGAAGUGUAGCAUUUAUUUGUGUGAUUGCAGCAGUAUGUUCGUCUAACUGUUGUUGGACUUUCAUAAGUGCAUCAUUAUUAUCACCUUUAGACAUCUUCAAAACCUGUAAAAAAUAAACACUCAACACUCAAAAAUAAAAGUUAGCAAACCUCACCAUUAAUCACUCAAAAAGAAAAAUCAAAUUCUCAAUGAGGUCGAAUUCAAUCUUGUGAGUUUUUUAUCAGAGUUUAUAUCAACCAAUUAGAGAGUGUGAACCAAAUUACCAAAGAAUCCUAAUUUGCACUAGGAUGCCAAAAACUGACGAGACACCAAGUGAUUCGUGUUGCACCGAGGAAGGAGUUGUGCACACGUGUAAAUCCUACUAACACAAGAAACAAAAAGGUGUUAGAUAAUGUAACGGAAGAAUAAAAGCAAACAAAUGAAAACCUACAGCUAAGAAUCAAUAAAAAUUGCUGAAAACAGAAAACCCGAAAAAUUGCGGAGUAACUUGACAACUUCGUUCGAGGUGGUCCCGAUCUCUAAAAAUCACGAAAUUAAAUCUGUAAUGUCCUUAAAUAUUGAAUUUCUUAUCUGGAAAUUUUGGGCACCAAAUUCAACCCACUGAAUCUUUUUUUAAAUUUUUAUUGAAUUUCGUAUUUUUUUAUUAUUUUGACUUUUUUGACUGAUUUUUUUUGCGGGAAUAAUUUUUUUAUAUUCAAUCACAGUGCCAAAAACAUGUAUGUAAAAUUUCAGAUCAAUCGGACAACGUUUACCCACUCAAAUGAAUUUUUUUUAAACAAUUUUUCUGGGUAAAACUGCUGUUUGUGCUUUAAAAAAUAGAGAUCAGUUUAGAAAUCAACCAAGAACACCCAAAACGCCCAAAAUCUGAUACCAAAUGAUACGGGGUUGCGCGUGGACCAAGAUCGAGUUGCCAAGUCACGGGAAACUCCUACGAAAACCCUAAACAAUUAGAUCUGAAACGAAACAGAAAAUUAAAAGAUUAGAUUUUUGAAUUUUCAGAUCUGAAAUAAAAUCCCCAAAUCAGCAAAGAAUCAAAUUGAGAAUAGAAAUAAGUGUUAGGGUUCUUGAAACCCUCAAGGAGAUUGUGAUUCUGCCCAAUUGAACACCAAGAUAGUUUUCCCCAAAUUUCGACAAUCUAAUUUCACCCAAAAAGAGUAUGGAAAAACCCUAGAAAUUGGAGAUUUUUGGGCUGAUUCCUUAAGAUAGAAAAAGGCUGAAAACACAAUAAGAACAUAAAAUAGAUUAGAUAAUGAUUCAGCACAAGUAGAAAUAAAGAAAGAAUUGACAGUAAGAAAUUAAAAAAAAGUCCUAAGAAGCCUUGAAAUCUCGAAAGAUCUCACAACUCCCUUCAAACGGCUCUAAUCUCCCCUCCAAAGAAUAUCAAUGGCAAGAAGAAGGUUGAAGAUGGCUCCCACAAUCAAAAAGAUUGUUAAAACAACUUCUAAAGAAAACUCAAGAGAAAAUCCUUGAAGAACUCAAAGAGAAUUUUCACUCAAAUCAAAUCUGAAAUUUUCAAUGUAAUUGUAAUGUAGUGUAGGGUGGCUGGCCAAGCCAUAUAAAUAGGCCUUUCAAAUAUUUUCCUAAUUUAAUUAGAACACUAAAACUAAAACUAAAAAAAAAAACUCCUAAUUAUUUUAAUAUGAAAAUUCGGCCAAGGGUCUUUUACUUGGGACUCUUGGACUGAAUAUAAAUAAAUAAAUAAAUAAAAAUAAAACUUUACAACUUGGGCCACUUUGACAAUUUGGCCUGAUUUUCAACUAAGUAUGGGUGGAUUUCUUGAUUGGGCUUGGAAUCUUCUUAUUGGGCCUCGCCUUCAAGAAUUUGGGCUUUUGUGACUCGUAUCACUUCUCCUCCUUCACAGCCUUGGUUGACAACACAUCUUGCCUUGUUUCUUUGUUCAUAACAAUCCUGUUUCUUCUUGCACAAACAGUUCGUGAGUAUAGUUUGCUUGCACAAACUGUCUUCAACAGGCUUGCAACUAUACAACACGCAUUGAGCUUCCACAUGUUGCUGAGCUCACACCUUUGACAGACUCACAUCUUUGCAUAUUGUCUUCAACAGGUGUCUUCAAUAGGCUCGCACUUUGCUAAGCUUGCAGCUUUGACAUCUUGCUAAGCUUGCACAUUUGGAAAGCUCACACCUUUCCUUGAAACUCCUCCUCCAGCUUAUUCAAGCUUGUUUGGGGGUCUUAUAAGUUUGAGCCGAUGUUGAGCAGGGGAAGCAAAAUCAAUGGUCCCUUAAGACUUAGGCUCUGAUACCAUUUGUUGGAACAAUGGCAGCAGCAAAAAGAAAAAGAACAAGACAGAGAACAAAGGAGGAAGAAACAAAAAUAAUUUACUUGCUCACAAACGUGCAACAAGGAAGCAAUCUGAGUUUCACAACUGAUAUGCUUGAUUUUUCAAUAAGAAAAACAAUACAUUUAUAGCCAACUACAUCAGUUAUUACUACCUAAUACCACUAAGUAGCCUAGUAACUUUAAAAACAUUGCUUGUACGCAAACAAGCCACCUAAACUAGUCAUUCAACACCUAAACAUAUCAAGCUAUCAUCAGCUUGUUCAUUUCCAAGUAGUUUAAUCAACAAAGAAACUAAAAAGAAAACUUGCUGUUACAGCAAGUAUAUGUGCUGCAGCAUGUCAUCAAGCUGCAUGCACUUCAACCAAAACAUGUAUCAGCAGCAUGGUUGGCCAAUUUCAACAAAUUCUCAGCAAAUGUCCAUCACUGCUACUCCAGACGAAUGCUAAAGGUCAAACUCCUUUGCACGUUGCAGCAAGGUAUGGAAAUUCUACUAUUGUGAAACUUCUAAUCAAGUCUUGUGCAAAAGCUAGAGAUGGAGAUUUAGAGAAGCUGGGAAUGGAUCAAGUAAAUGCAGUGGGGGAGAUGCUGAGGAUUACAGAUCAGGAAUCCAACACGGCUUUACACGAAGCAGCACGGCGUUACAAUGUUGAAGUGGUGAAAGCAUUAUGUUGGAGUUUGAAGACCCUGAUUUUCCGUAUUCCGCCAACAAAAAACAGGAGACUCCACUUUACAAUGUUGAAGUGGUGAAAGCAAUGCUGCACACUUGGGUUAUAGAUUAUCAGUUGUGGAAGAAGUGUUAAAAAGGGAUGUAUCAGCUGCCUAUAUAAGUGAUAAAAAGAGGGGGAUGACACCCCUGCUUAUGGCAGCCAGGUAAAGCUAUCUUGGAACAGUUUCAAAGAUUCUCUCUUUAUGUCCAGAUUGUUGUGAAAAAGUGGACAACAAAGGUUUGAAUUUACUUCAUUACCUGGUUUUUAGAGGCGCUUUCUCUCCAUUAAGAGUUUCUCCUUUGAAAUGACACUCAAGAAGUUUAUUAUGCACUUCGAUCUAAGAAACAAGAUCAGAAACAAGUGUGUGUAUAUAUUGUAUUUCCAUGGCUAUGGUUUUAUUAAUAUUUAAGUUUUGAAUUAACAUAUUUAAUAAAUCUUCAAUACAAUCAGCUAAUGUGGGUGGCAUGGCAGAAACAAAUCAAUGAUUUGUUGGAAGAAAUUGAGACUGAUCAAGUGGCGGAGGACCCAGUUCAACUCAAUCUCUUGCCAACUAUCUCUGCAGAAAGCUUGGAGAAGACAAGAGAUGCUCAUUUAGUAGUGGCAGCACUUAUAGCCACCAUCGCAUUUGCAGCGGUAAUCCCGGUGGUUUGAAUAGCGAAAAAGGGUCAGAGCAAGGCGCUCCCCUUUUGAUUGAUGAGGCGGCAGCCUUUAAAGCAUUUGUUGUAACAAAUGCAUUGGCCUUUAUUCUCUCUGUUUCUGCCAUCUUCAUCCACUCCGGGGUUCUGGGUAAUAUGUUAUCAGGAUUUAAGUUUGGGCAUCGGACAGUUUUAUAUCGAACUCUGUCUGUUUCUGGGAUCCUUUUUCUAUGCAACGUUUGCAAUGUUGAUUGCUUUCAGCACAGGCUGUUAUGUGGUCUUAAAACCUUCCCACGGACUUGCCAUUGUUUCAUAUCUCAUCUACCCUGCCUUUUUUGUCUUUAUGUUGCUAAUUUUGAAUCUUACAUCAUAUAUGUAACAUAUAAAUAUGAGAAUAUUACUUUAUCACGGAUUACUAUUCUUCCAAUUCCUAGUGUCAAUGUUCUCUUUGAAGAAAUAUUACUUUUAAGUUUUUUUUAGAUAUAUCUAACUCAUCAGUAUUGUUGCGGAAAGGAUCGAUUCGAGAACUCCGAUAUGACUACAAGUAAAUUGACCGAAACGAAAAAUAAAGUGAACACAAGGAUUUACGUGGUUCGGCUUUAAUGCCUACGUCCACGGGCAGAGGCGAAAAGAAAUUUCACUAUAACAAGAUGAAGAUUACAAGUGUUUUACACUCAAGACACAACCCGAGAACCUCACAACUCUCAACCCCUAUAGAAAACCCGAAAGCUAAAAUCCUAGCUUUCAAAGAACAAGCUUUGCUCUCUCUUGGUUUGGGAUGAUUAAUAUGGCUAAUGAACCUCUCUAUUUAUAAGAGAGUUCAAGGACAUAAUUGUCCAAAACUUUGGCAAAGAUUUGUGGUUGAAAAUGGACACCAACAACCAUCCACUAAUCCACUACCACCAACAACCCACUACCAACAACAACAAUCCACUACCAAUUUUAAGCCAUUUCUUAACAAAUCUCCACCUUGGCUUGAAAUUUACCAAGCUGAACAUCAUAGUGAACUGGAUCACCUCUUCCAAACGCCUCUCUGGCGCUAAUCAAUCCCGAAUACCUAUCAAGUCCAAGCAAUGCUUGAACUUAUAUGCAGGGAUCACCUUAGUUAACAUAUCUGCAGGAUUCUUCUCGGUAGCAACCUUGCUGAUAACAAUGUCACCUUGCGUAACAUGUUCCCGAACAAAAUGAUAUCUGACAUCAAUGUGUUUGGUCCGUUCAUGAAACAUCUGAUUUUUAGUCAGAUGUAUGGCACUCUGGCUAUCGCAAAAUACAACAGUGAAAUCCUGUUGUAAACCCAAACUGCUUACUAGACCUUUCAUCCACAAUGCUUCUUUCACUGCUUCUGCUAACGCCAUAUAUUCCGCCUCAGUCGUAGAUAAGGCUACGGUAGACUGUAACACAGCUUUCCAACUAAUGGCUCCUCCAGAAUAAGUGAAAACAUAACCCGUCAGAGAUCUUCUUUUGUCCAGAUCUCCAGCAUAAUCAGAGUCCGCAUAGCCCGUGACACUGCUAGUGCAGUCACUCUGAUCAUAUACCAAGCAUAAAUCUGCAGAACCUCUCAAGUACCUGAGAAUCCAUUUCACGGCCUGCCAGUGUUCCUUGCCAGGACAACUCAUGUAUCUGCUGACCACACUAACUGCAUGUGAAAUGUCUGGACGAGUGCAAACCAUUGCAUACAUCACGCUUCCAACUGCACUCGAGUAUGGAAUGUGAGACAUUUGCUGCUUUUCUUCAUCAGAUUGUGGUGACAACUCUGCAGAGAGUUUGAAAUGUGGUGCCAACGGAGUACUCACAGUUUUCGCUUUAUCCAUGCCGAAGCGUUGAAGAACCUUUUCAAUGUAGUUCUUCUGCGACACACGAAGCUUGCCCGCCUUGCGAUCUCUGUGAAUAUCCAUGCCCAAAAUUUUCUUGGCAGCACCCAGAUCCUUCAUCUCGAACUCACCACUCAACUGCGACUUUAACUUGUUGAUUUCCGACAUGUUUUUGGAAGCAAUUAACAUGUCAUCAACAUACAGCAACAAAUAAAUGUGCGAACCAUCUGAGAGCUUCCGAUGAUAGACACAAGCAUCAUAGUCACAUCUUGUGUAACCAUGCUGAAUCAUGAAGCUAUCAAACCGCUUGUACCACUGCCUUGGGGAUUGUUUCAAUCCAUAUAAAGACUUCUUUAAUAGACAGACAUGGUCUUCUUUACCAGGAACUGUAAAACCCUCUGGUUGACGCAUGUAGAUUGUUUCCUCGAGCUCACCAUGCAAGAACGCCGUUUUUACGUCAAGCUGCUCAAGUUCUAGAUCAGACUUGGCCACCAUGGCAAGUAAUACACGAAUGGAAGAAUGCUUUACGACUGGGGAGAAAACUUCAUUGUAGUCAAUCCCCUCUUUCUGAGUGAAGCCUUUAGCAACCAAUCGUGCCUUGAAUCUAGUUGCUUCAACCCCUAGGAUGCCUUCCUUUUUCUUGAAGACCCAUUUGCAACCAACUAUCUUCUGGUUACUUGGCGGCUUAACCAACUCCCAAGUAUGGUUCUUGUGAAGAGAUUCUAUCUCCUCACUCAUAGCAAUUGCCCACUGUGCCGACUCAUCACACGUGACAGCCUCAUUAUAACUGGAAGGUUCUAUACCAAUGGACUCCGCCACACUGAGCGCGAAAGACACCAGAUUAGCGUAACGCGGAUUUGGUUUGAUUUGUCUCUUCGUUCUUCCAGUGGCAAUGCUAUAUGGUUUUUCUUGAGGUGACUCAUCUUCAUCGGAAUCUUGCACCUCAACUUGAUCAUCCUGGACUGAAGUACCUUCCGUAGGAAUUGGAGCGUCCACCUGACACUCCACCUGCUUCUCAACACCGUGAUCUCCCAUUCUAUCUGACUCCUCCUUUUCCCGGGAAUUUGUGGUGGAUCGAAGCAUGGAUGACUCAUCAAAAGUCACAUCUCUGCUGAUGAUGAACUUGGACGAAACCGGAUCAGGACACCACAACCUGUAUCCUUUCACCCCUUGGCCGUAUCCAAGAAAUAUGCAUUUCUUCGCCCUCGGUUUGAGUUUUCCCUCAUUUACAUGAGCAUACGCAGGGCAGCCAAACACUCUUAAACCAGAGUAAUCAGCAGGAGAACCAGACCAUACUUCCUCAGGAGUCUUCAGCUCAAUAGCUGUUGACGGAGAUCUGUUAACCAAAUAACAAGCAGUAUUAACAGCUUCAGCCCAAAAUUCUUCACCGAGCCCAGCAUUUGAUCGCAUGCAACGAGCUCGCUCCAAGAGAGUUCUAUUCAUGCGUUCUGCAACUCCAUUUUGUUGUGGUGUUCGACGAACAGUGCGGUGUCUCACUAUUCCUUCAUUUUUGCAGAACUCAUUGAAUUCACCUGAGCAAAACUCCAAGCCAUUAUCCGUCCGGAAUCGCUUGAUCUUCUUUCCUGUUUGAUUUUCGAUCAAAGCUUUAAAUUGCUUGAAGUUGAUGAGAACCUCAUACUUGCUCUUCAGAAAAUACACCCAAACCUUUCUCGAGUAAUCAUCGAUAAAGGUAAGCAGAUAUCUGUAACCACCUUUAGAAAUUGUCGGAGAAGGCCCCCAAAGGUCAGAAUGGAAGUAAUCCACUGUGCCUUUUGUCUUGUGAAUCCCAGUGCUGAACUUUACCCGAGUCUGCUUACCGAAGACGCAGUGCUCACAGAAAUUCAACUUUCCUGUACACUGCCCAGACAAUAAUCCUCGUUUGCUUAGCACCGAUAAGCCUCUCUCGCUCAUAUGCCCGAGCCGCAUAUGCCAUAACUUCGUGGUGUCAGAAUCUAGAUCAUCUGAUGAUGACACUCCCGCAACACCUGUAACCGAGGAACCAUCGAGGAAGUAAAGGCCUCGCUCCAAAUUACCACGUAUCACAGUCAAAGCACCCGAGAAUACCUUGAGAACUCCACCUUCAGCAGAGUACCGAAAGCCUUUCUUGUCCAACGUACUCAAAGAGAUCAAAUUUUUCUUCAUUUCUGGAAUGUGCCGAACAUCAGUUAGAGUUCUAACAAUACCGUCAAACAUCUUUAUACGAACUGUGCCAAUCCCCAUGACUUGACAUGCGUGGUCAUUUCCCAUUAGUACUGAACCAGAAUGCUUCUCGUAUGUUGAGAAUGCAUCUUUCGAAGUACUUAUAUGAAAUGUAGCUCCCGUAUCAAGAAUCCAUCUCCCACCAGCGUAAGAGUCGGAUACUGCAAGAACGAUCUCGGCAUCACUUGAAGAAUCUGCAUCAGCUACAUUCGCACGAUCAUUUUGUUGCUCCUGUGAUUCUGAUUUCUCCUUCCUUUUCGGACAAUCUACCUUCAUGUGCCCGUACUUCUUACAGUAGUAGCACUGUAUUCUCUUCUUGGACUGCGAUCUAGGAUGGCUUUUACUUGAACUUCCACCCUUUGCCUUGGAUCUUCCUCGAGCAACCAAGCCUUCGCCUUCAUUGUUUUCGACCACCUUACCAGUGAUUUUCUUCCUCAACUCACUGGAACUUAAGGCAUUUUUCACCUCCUCUAGAGUCAGGUCAUCACGACCGUACAUCAUUGUAUCAACAAAAUUCUCAUACGAGGGAGGCAAAGAACACAAAACAAUUAUUGCUUGGUCCUCAUCAUCGAUUUUGUUAUCGAUAUUAUUCAAAUCCAUGAUAAUGGAAUUGAAUUUAUCCAGGUGCUGGGAAACAGGUGUACCUUCCUCCAUCUUCAGGGCAUAGAGUCUUUGCUUGAGGUAGAGCCGGUUCGUCAAUGACUUCGUCAUGUACUUGCUUUCUAACCGGAGCCACAAACCGGACGCGGUUUUCUCAUCCGCUACUUCUCGUAGCACUUCAUCUCCUAGACAUAGCAGAAUAGCACUAUGUGCUCUUUCUAGCAUGUCAUCCUUUUGCUCUUCCGAAAGCGUGCUUGGUAAUUUAUCUUUACCAGACAAUGCUUUUAGCAAUCCUUGUUGAACCAGCACUGCCCGCAUCUUGAUGCGCCAUAAACUGAAACUAUUUUUCCCGGUAAAUUUCUCGACAUCAUACUUAGUCGAUGAAACACUUGUAGCCAUAAUUUGGAACCUUUGAAUGAAUGAUAAUAUUUUCUUCCUGAUGUGAAAGAUCAGACAAAGCUGCAGUCACAGGGCAAUUCAGAAAAUAUUAUCACUCCUUCAACUACGCUCUGAUACCAAUUUGUUGCGGAAAGGAUCGAUUCGAGAACUCCGAUAUGACUACAAGUAAAUUGACCGAAACGAAAAAUAAAGUGAACACAAGGAUUUACGUGGUUCGGCUUUAAUGCCUACGUCCACGGGCAGAGGCGAAAAGAAAUUUCACUAUAACAAGAUGAAGAUUACAAGUGUUUUACACUCAAGACACAACCCGAGAACCUCACAACUCUCAACCCCUAUAGAAAACCCGAAAGCUAAAAUCCUAGCUUUCAAAGAACAAGCUUUGCUCUCUCUUGGUUUGGGAUGAUUAAUAUGGCUAAUGAACCUCUCUAUUUAUAAGAGAGUUCAAGGACAUAAUUGUCCAAAACUUUGGCAAAGAUUUGUGGUUGAAAAUGGACACCAACAACCAUCCACUAAUCCACUACCACCAACAACCCACUACCAACAACAACAAUCCACUACCAAUUUUAAGCCAUUUCUUAACAAGUAUUAACAAUCUCCAUUUAAUUGAAAUCAAUGUUAUUAGUUGAUAAAUACACAUUUUCAAAAAAAAAUUAAAAAAAUUCAUAAUUUAUGUAAAGUAAAAUUUAUUAAAUAUCAAAAAAUAAUAAAUAUGUUGUAACUAAUUUUCCGUUAUAAUUAAAAAUUAGUUUGAGGAAUCAUUGAAAAAUAUGAGAUUUUUAAGUUCACCACCAAUUUUUGUUGGCUAGGUGUGAUCAAACACCUAUAAAAUCACUCUUUAAAAAGAAAAUUUUGAUUUAAAAAAAAAUUAAUUUUGGGUACGAUAGAAAUUCAGAAAAUAAAUAUUUAAGUUCAAGAGUUGAUUACGUGAAAAGAAGGUUUUAGCACCCAUGCCUAAAAUUGAUAGUUUGUUAAAUAUAUUCGUCAAUUAAAAUUUAUAUCUCGGUAUUUAAUUAAAAUCAAAAAUUUUGAUAAAUUAAAAAUAAAUAUAUGAAAGAUGUCCAGAUUGUUGUGAAAAAUUGGAAAAAAGAGGUUUGAAUUUACUUCAUUAUUUGGCUUUUAGAGACCGUUCCUACAAUUAAGUCAUUCUCUUUUCAUGACUGGUGGUACUAUGGCUGCAUAUGGAUCAAUAAGAAAUCUAAUGAAGUUGAAAGGUGACUUUGGAUUUACAGCAGCAAUAACUCUACCUGGUGGUUUGAAUAGUGAAAAAGGAUCAGAGCAGGGCAAUCCUUUUCUGAUUGAUGAGGCAGCCUUCAACAAAUGCAUUGGCCUUUAUUCUCUGUUUCUGCCCUCUCCAUCCAGUUUGGGAUUCUGGAUCUUCUUUUAUGUUUCUAAUCUCCUUGAUUGUGCAGUGGUUGUGAUGGUGAUUGCUUUUAGCACAAGUUGUUAUGUGGUUUUAAAACCUUCCCAUAGACUUGGUACCGAUUCAUGUUUCAUUUGCCCUGCCUUCUUUGUUUAUUAUUACAUACAACAAUACCUAGCUCUUGUGAAGAUGUCGUACUAAAAAGUACUCAUAUUGUGUGAGACAAUAAAACGAAGAGCUCAUGGAGGCCCUCAUGAUAGAACAAUUUUGCAUGCAGCAGUUAUGGCUGUAGAUGCCAGGCAAUUACAUAUGCAAAUAUAUUUAUUAACAACUUCAUUCCCCCCCAUCUCUGUAUUAAACCGAAAGUCCAUGUGAUUCCAACUGUUAAGCACCAUGGGAAGUGUUGAAAUAUAUAGGAAGUAAUAAGAAUUUUAUACAUAAUAAUAAAUUUACUAAUUUGACAUUUUUCGUAAUUAAAUUUAGCGUUUAAUUUUUUAAAAAGAGUCAAAUUUGAUCAUUUACUUUUAAAAACUAUUUAAUUAUCGUUUUUACACUAAAAUAUUAAAAUUUUAAAUAUAGUAGUUCGCGUGAAAGUUGGCAUGAACUUCAUGUUAACUUUUUCAACUUUUAAAUUUUUUAUAAUUUUUAAAUUAUUUCUUGACGUGCCGGAUAAAUAGUGUUAUCUCACCGUUUACGAGUUUUUCCAUUCCUAUGAUAAAAAGAGAAACGAGAUCAGAUUUUAUGGAACAAAUUCUCAGCAAGUGUCCGUCACUGCUACUCCAAACGAAUGCUAAAGGUCAAACUCCUUCGCACCUUGCAGCAAGGUAUGGGCAUUCUGCUAUUGUGAAACUUCUAAUAAGUCUUGCGCAAAAGCUAGAGAUGGAGAUUUAGAGAAGCUGGGAAUGGAUUGAGUAAAUGCAGCGAGGGAGAUGCUGAGGAUUAGGGAUCAGGAAUCCAACACCGCUUUACAUGAAGCAGCACGGUGUGGCACAGGGAUUUAAAUUGCGGUCGCGGUCGUAUUUUCGGUCGCGUCGCGUUUGUCGCGGUUGCAGACAUAACGGACGCUAUUGCGAUUACUGCGGGUAUCACGGUCGUGAAUUUUUUUAAAAUUCGUACAACUUAUUAUAAAAUAUAGGAAUUAUAAUUAUAAUUAUAAAAAGUCAUUUUUUAUGAUUUUUAGAGUUUUAAAUAUUUAGACUUUGAUUGCUUUUUGCUAUUUAUUUGGACUUCUUUUUUUUUAAUAACAUUAUAUUAGGCUUUUAUUAAUAAAACAAAAUUAUAAAAACUGCACACUUAUAAUUCUAAAAAGCCCAAAGCAGAUGGCCAAAAGUAAAAAAAUCUAGAUAUUUUUAAAGUAAAAAAAUCUAGAUAUAAUCCUAAAAAAAGGCACCGAUUCCUUGCCCAAUCAGCUGAAAUCUGCCCUCUCUUCUUCCCAUAAUCCAUCAUUUCAUUUUCAAUUUGACCAUUUCCUUUUUCAAAACUUUUCCUUCCGAACCGUUCCAUUUUCUUAUUGUUUUGAAGCUUUCUUCCUUCCGUUCUUCCUCUCCUGGUGCUUUCUAGUCUGGUUCACAUAGCCAAUCGUAUCUUCUUUGUUCUUCAGCGUACUCAGGCCCUCAGGGAGCUCCAUUUCCAGGCAUACCUCCUCUUUUUUGUUUUUUGUUCUUUUUCCUGUUGUCUUCUUUGUUCUUUGUUCUUUUUCCUUUUUUUGAUUGAACUGUGUUUCAGUGUUUCUGUUGAUUUUUGUUUAGAGGGGAUGAUUUUUUUUAAUUUGCUGUUAACAGAAAAUAACGGGAAUAGCGGCCCGUUAUUGCCGCAAUUGGCCGUUACCCGUUAAAUUGCGGCCGUGAUCCACCGCUAUCGGUGUGACUCCGCUUCUCACCGCUAUUUUCAGCAAUUGCGGUUUCGGACGGCGCCGCUACCGCUAUAUAACGGCCGCUAUUUCGGUAACGGACCGUUAUUUAAAUCCCUGGUACUGUGGCAUUGUCGAAGUGGUGAAAGCAUUGUUGGAGUUUGAAGACCCUGAUUUUCCGUCUUCUGCCAACAAAAAACAGGAGACUCCACUUUAUAUAGCAGCUAUGGCUGGAGAUGCAGGUAUGCUGUUGAUAUUAAUAAUUUUGAUAAAAUGUCUGCAAUUUGUUAAAAUGCAACCUGAAGCUUAGAAAACUUUCCAGCAUCAGAAUUAACAGGAAGAGCUUACAUCAUGAUUUCAUGGAUUAUGAACUAUACAUUUAAAUUACAAAUUGAUAGAAGUUGUUUUUGUUAGUACAAAUUUUCGAUGAGGAAAAUUUCGAACAUACGAACGAAACUUGAACAGCAAAUAAAGAAAUAAGACAAGGCUUCAAAGUGUGUAUCAAGUCGCUAUUUUUAAGGUUAUAUUCGCCUCCACCUAUGUUUAGUGUGCAAAAGAGUUUCGAGUAAAUUAAUCUCAAGGAUACAAUGAAGCCGAUGACUAUUUGUGUUUUGCACUGAUGAAAAUAAAUCGCUAAGCACUGAGCAAUAUAUAACAAGAAACUCAAUUUUAAAAAAAAAAAUUACAGUAAUACUUUAUAGAAUAAUCUAAUAAUAUUUGAAGAUGGAGGAAGGAAAGAAAGAAUUUUAGAAUUUGUUGAUAUAAUUUUCAAAUAAAAUCUCAUUCCUAUUUAUAAGAAUUUUCAUGUUUCUCCGUAUACUCUUCGUAGACUCUUUAAGAAAGUGAGAAUUUUAUCCAAUUAAUGUUUUUGUUUCUUGUUUUGUUUAAUGAAGACCAGAAGUUAGGAAGCUCGACAAGAGUUUAAGCGUCCGUUUUGUUUGUUGUUAUUUUCAUUAAUUCCUAAUCUAAUUUGAUUCUACAGUUUUAUAACGUUAUUAAUUAAUCAAAAUUGUUAAUACAAUUAAUUUUUUGAUUAAAAAAUUUCAUGAUUAUAUAUAAUUUGAAUGUUUUAAGGGUUUUAGAGAUGAAUACGUGACUCAUUAUUUCUUUUAGGUUUGCCUUACUUUUUUUUAUAUUAUAAGAAAAUGAUCAAAUUUUAAUUUUAGCCCUUACACAAUGUGAAAAUUUGGGAUUUAAUUUAUAUACAUUAUUUUUUACAUAAUUUGAUCAUUCUUCUUUUACAAUGUCAUUAGUUAGCCCUUACACAAUGUUGGCAUCAAUAUUUUUAGGAAUCCUAUUCCAAGAAAAAAAUAUUCAUGACGAGUUCGAAUGAAUGUUCUAAAGGAAAAAUCUAUAUAAACAUUUUCAAUGUUAUUUUUAUUUUUAUAUGACUACCAAGUAAUUUUUUUUAAUUUUCAAAAUAUCACACUAACAAAUUUAAUAGAAGAAUUUUAGUAGUAGUAAUGAUUGAACCUAAAAUUUUAAAUCUAAAAAACAGAGGGUCUAAAGUUCUAAAAAUAAAAGUAUGCUUAAAGUAUAUUGUCCUUUAAAUUGUACUGCAUAAUUUAAUACAAAUAAAUAAUGAACCCUUUGCGAAGCAUGAGAUUCAUACUAGUUUAUGAUUAGGUUAAUGGACAUUAAUUACCAAAUUUGCUAAAGUGUCUAUUUGAUGAAAUAAAGCAAUCACACGUCUAAAACAUAUAAGGUUGUGGAAUGCUUGUACUAUUAUAAAUAGAGGUGGUUUCUCCACUUUUAGAUUAUCCCGAAAUUUGUUGUUUUUUUUUGUAAUUUUCUAUUUUAUCUUUUGCAGUAUAAUAUAUUUGGUAAUAUUCAAGGACGUAGGCAUAAUUUGCUGAAUCUCAUCAAAAUUUUGGUGUUUUUAUUAUUUUUUUUUUCUCAAUAUUUUGUAGAGUAUAUUUGUAGUGAUAUAUUGGGCUUUAAGCAGGAUUAUAUGUGACCCUUUCAAUCUUUAUUGAGAAUUGAACAAGUAUUUUUUACGACAAUAAUUUACUCACUUGUAUCCGGUUCACACAACACUAUUAACUCUUUAUGAUUAUACUAACAAUUUAGUCUUAUUUUUCUCUUUUGAUAGUAAAAAAGUAGCAGCAAAAAGCUUCAAAACAAACCAAAUCAAAGACUAAACUAGUUUCCAUGGUAAGUAAGCAGGUCCAAAACACCAGGUGAUGGCUCUUCAAAAAAAUGCAGAGUAAUUCCCAAAUCAGGACCCAGCGGCGCCAUAAAGUCUGCAAUCUUAGUAGCUUCCCGUCUCUUAUGCAUAAAUUGGAAUCCAUCUGCCAAUAGCUUGGUCAUUAGUCGCCUCUUUAAAAUAUCCAUCGCCCCUCACAUUUUCCGAUUCAAUGAUAACCUUCCGAUAGCCUUGGCGGCGGGCCAACAAUUUAGUAUUUUAAUCAUCUUUAACAACUUUGUUUUGGCCCCAUUUGCUAAUUUUAAUUAUUUUUUAUUAUUAAAAUUAAAAUUAAAAAUUCAGAUUGACCCAUACUUACCUAACCUUUGAAUUAGAUUGAUAAACUACAUAUAGAUAAAUCCAUAUAUGACAAAUUUUUUAUAAUUAAAAUUUAGUAUACCGUCAUAAGUGUGUCAUAAUUUAGUGAUAUAUAAAUUUAAAAAUGAUAAUUUUGAUGUUUAUACUGUUAGAGAUUGUAUGACCCAAAUCUCGUCACUUUAAAUAAAAUACAAAGUCAAAAUAAGGAGAUCUAUGGGGACGAAGGAUUUUUCAAGCUUUAAAUAGAUGUAGUCGAAAUUCUUCUUGUUUUAUUCAUUUUUCAAUAUUAGUGAAUUUCUCCUGCCCCAUGAUUAUUUCCAAAAAGAUUUUCACAUAAAAUUUAUAUUUUUUUUUCUUUUCUUAUCGAUUUGCAAUUAUUCUACUAUCAUUAUUGACGUCGAUAAUGGAAUUUGACAACGAAAAGAGAUGAAGUGUAUUUCAUCUGCCCUUCCAACUUUGUCAAAUUCCCAUGGACGUUGCCAUCGUUUUAUGUUUGAUCUGCUCUGCUUUUUAUUAUUAUUAUUACUUACAACAAUACCUAGCUUUGUUGAAGAUGGUUUUGUAGUGAUAAUCAAGAAUUUUCUUAACUUCAUUUAUUUCCCCAAAUAUCUGUGAAAGGGAAUUAAAUCUCCAUAUGAAGCCAAAGUGGAUGUGGUUCCAAGUGUUGAGCAGCAUAGGAAGUAAUCAAAAUAUAUAUGUCGCACUGCAAGGAAUUCAAGGCUGCCUUGUCCACAACACAAAGGCUUAUAGCUGCUAAGCACCUGCUCUUAAAUUUGAUUAUGGCCUAAUAAACAACAUAGGGCAGCAUUGACUUCACCGCAAAGAGCUGUACACCGCAUUUUCUUCCAUUCUUCUUCUUUGCAGUUUCUUAAACCCAAAUUUCACCAUAAAAAACUCCUAAAAAUGAUGGAUUUGGUGCGUCUACUUUUCAACAAUUUUUAGUAUUUUAAUCAUCUUUAGCAACUUUGUUUUAGGGCCAUUUGCUUUUCUUUUCGUUACAAUUAAGUCAUCAUAUGAUAAUAACAUUUAGUGUAAGUUAUACAAAUAGUCCUUUAAUUAUUAGCACAUUAUUAGUUUGGUCACUCAUGUUUAAAAAAAGUCUAAUUUAGUCACUAACGUUAUGGACAAUUGAUAUUUUUGUCAUUCCUCAUUCAAUCAUUAAUAGAAUGCUGAUGCAACUUUUUUUUAUUGGCAUAUUAAUAAAUUUAGCCUUUCAAUCUCUAUAAAUUCCAGUAAUUUGAUUUACACAUUAUGUUAACUUAAUCUUCAUUCUUAAUUUUUUUUUUUAAAACUUAAAAACUAAAAAUAUAUAUUUAAUUUUUUUUUCUAUAAAAUACAUAUACAAAAUUAUAAAAUACAUAAAAAUAUAAAAAUAUUUAUAAAUAAAUGAAUACUAUUUUUUUCUUCAAAGAAAAUAUAGGGUUUAGUCUGAAUGAGUCAAUAUUAACUAACAUGACCAAAAUUUAGUGUGUAACAGUUUUCUGAGCUACCAAACACAGUCUUAGAAUAAAAAAAGAACAUAGAGCAGCAUUAACUUGACCACGAAGAGCUGUAGACCCCAUUUUCUUCCAUUCUAUUCUUUAAUUCUUCUCCUUCUUUGCAGUUUCCUUAAAACCAAAUCUCACCAUAAAAAACUCCUACUUUAUUGACCUCACUUCCAACCCAAUAUGCCACUUUUACUAAAGUGUUCAACUAUAUAAAGUUUUCAUUCGUAGGUGACUUGAAUGCAGGCAUAUGCAAGCAAGUAACUAACUGGAAAGGAAUUUGGUAAAUUUCUGAUUUGCAGUAUUUUUUUUCUUGAGCUUGGAAUGCUUCAAGCUAAUUAAUUAAAUUCUGUUUAGUGUUAUCCAGGAAGAAAUAGAUCCAGAAAAAAGGAACCUCGGAAGCCUGAACAGAACAUCACUCACAUGGAGGCUUCGCUAUAUAAUGCAGCAGCAGAAGGAAACAUUGAAGUAUUCAAUAAUAAACAGGGGCUUCAACUUGAGUCGCUAAAGACCCCAAACCAAGACAACGUGCUCCAUGUUAACUUGGCAACCGAGGAGACUGUCAAAUUCUCAAUAAUCAAAAUCUUCUCCGUAGGAUUUGUACCAGCCUAUCCGUUUUUGAAUUUAUUCGUUACUAUGAUAAAAAGAGAAAAAAAAUCAGAUUUUAUCGAACAAAUUCUCAGCAAGUGUCCGUCACUGCUAUUCCAAACGAAUGCUAAAGGUCAAACUCCUUUGCACGUCGCAGCAAGGUAUGGACAUUCUGCUAUUGUGAAACUUCUAAUCAAGUCCUGCGCAAAAGCUAUAGAUGGAGAUUUAGAGCUGGGAAUGGAUCAAGUAAGUGCAGUCAGGGAGAUGCUGAGGAUUACGGAUCAGGAAUCCAACACGGCUUUACAUGAAGCAGCAGGGUGUGGCAAUGUUGAAGUGGUGAAAGCAUUGUUGGAGUUUGAAGUCCCUGAUUUUCCGUAUUCUGCCAAUAAAAAACAGGAGACUCCACUUUAUAUUGCAGCUAAGAGAGGAGACGGCGGCGUGCUGAGUGUAAUAUUAGAUAAAUCAAAAUCAGCAGCUCAUGGCGGCCCCCACGGUAGAACAGCUUUGCAUGCAGCAGCUAUGGCUGGAGAUGCAGGUAUGUUGUUGAGUUAGUUCCAUUUUUUUUUUAAUUUGAAAUAAAUAAAGAACAGGUCUAUUGACAUUUUUUUUUUUUGCUUGGAUUUAGAGGCAAUAAGGAUAAUAUUAGAGAAGAAGGGGAAUUUGACAAAGGAAAGAGAUGAAGAUGGACACACCCCUCUUCAUUAUGCUGCACACUUGGGUUCUAGAUUAUCAGUUGUGGAAGAACUGUUAAAAAGGGAUGUGUCAGCUGCCUAUAUAGGUGAUAAAAAGAGGGGGAUGACACCCCUUCUUAUGGCAGCCAGGGAAGGUAAUGGUGGAACAAGGGCAAAGAUUCUCUCUUUAUGUCCAGAUUGUUGCGAAAAAGUGGACAAUAAAGGUUUGAAUUUACUUCAUUAUACGGCUUUUAAAGACUGUCUUCCCAUCAGGGAGUUCUGUUUUUAAGCGUGGUGGUGUUGAGAUUGUAUAUGGAUCAGUUAGAAAUCUAACGGAGUUGGAAGGUGCCUGUAAAAUCUAAUGGUUUUGCAUUUCCAUGGCUACUGUUUUAUUAAUAUUUAAGUUUUGAGUUAACAUAUUUAAUAAACCUAUAAUACAAUCGGUUAAUGUGGGUGGCAUGACAGAAGCAAAUCAAAGAUUUGUUGGAAGAAAUUGAGAAUGAUCAAGUGGCAUAGGAACCAGUUCGUCACUUUCACUUACCAAAUGUUUCUAUAAAAAGAUUGGAGGCUAUAAGAAAUACUCAUUUAAUAGUGGCAGCACUUAUAGCCACCAUCACCUUCGCAGCGGUAAUAACUGUUCCUGGUGGUUUGGAGAGUGAAAAGGGGUCAAAGCAAGGUAAUCCCUUUUUGAUUCAUGAGGCAGCCUUUAAAGCAUUUGUUGUAAAUUGGCCUUUAUUUUCUCUGUUUCUGCCUGUUGGGAUUUGGAGAAUGAUAGAUGAAGGUUAACAGAGCUUGAGCAACAAUGCUGUAUGUUUGCUGGUGAAAUAAACAGAAUCGGGCUUGGGAACAAAGAAAAUGAAAAACAAGAAAAGAGAGUUUUGGAUGAAAUUUUGAAAAUGAUUUCAUUAACAUUGAUUGAAGGCACAAAGCCAAUACAUAAACCAGACAUUUAGCCGGUCAAAUCAAAACAAAUUGUCACCUAACAUUACCUACUAUCACUAAGUAACAUUGGAACUUAUGAAAACAUUGCUUGCACACAUAGGUAUACUGAUUUAUCAAUCUAUCAGUACCUAAUUACAUCAAAACAAUAUCAAUUUAGUUCAAAUCUGACUAAAUUACAAAGCGAUAUUUAAGGUAACAAAACGAAAUGAAAUACAAUAGCAGUAAUGUGCUUCAGCAGCUGCAUGCAUACUUCAUGUGUUGUAAGUGCGGCUUGAUCUGCUUGUUCAUACUUUAUGUGCUGUAAAUGCGGUAUCCAGGCCAACUUCAACACUCCUCCUUGGCUUGCAUGCUGCAUACUCCCAUUUUAGCUCUCAAAUGCACGAACCUUGAACACUAAUGGGCUUUGUUAAGAUAUCAGCAAGUUGUUCUUUAGAACUGCAAUGAAUUAGCUUCACUUCUUGAGCUUGCUCCAUCUCUCUAACAAAGUGAAAUUUGAUCUUGAAGUGUUUCAUUCUUCCAUGGAAUACUGAAUUCUUUGCAAUUGCAACAGCAGAUUGGUUGUCACAAUUGAUCUCUGUCGCUUCCCUUGGUGUAGAUUCAAGUCAGCCAUGAUUUUUCUUAUCCAAAUGGCUUGAUUGAUAGCAAUAGCAGCUGCUACAUAUUCUGCUUCAGUAGUUGAUUGAGCAACAACAUUUUGCUUCUUCGAAUUCCAGCAAAAAAUGGCUUAUCCAAAAGUAAAAACAUACCUUGAUGUACUCUUCAUGUUAUCUAUCGAUCCAACCCAAUCACUAUCAGCAUAACCAACCACUUUCGUAUUUUUAGCUUUGCUAAAUAGCAUUCCAUAGCUCAAUGUACCUUUGAUGUACCUGAGAACUCUUUUGGUAGGUUGAAAGUGAUUUUCAUUGCAGCAAUGCAUGAAUCUAGAUAGCAGACUCACAAUAAACAUGAUGUCUGGUCUAGUGGCAGUAAGAUAUCGCAAACAACCUACCAAGCUCCUAUAGACAGAUUCACUAACCUGCUCAAAGUCACCUUGGCUCGAUAGUUUCUCUCUAAUGGCAACUUGUGUGUUUGAUGCCUUACAAUUUUGCAUGGAGAAUUUGUUCAGAAUCUUGGAGACAAAAGCCUUCUGACUUAGGAAGAUUCCAUGUUGUGUUUGAGUCGCUUCCAUACCAAGGAAGUAAGACAUUUGCCCCAAAUCUGACAUCUCGAACAUGUGUUCCAUCUUGGCUUUGAAAUCAGCUAGCAUUUCAUGAUCUCCUCCAGUUACUAGCAGGUUAUCAACGUAUAGGAACACUAUUAGUUGAGUUUCACUACCUUGCUUCUUCACAUACAAGGUAGGUUCACUGAUGCUUCUUUCAAAUCCAAGGCUAGCUAGGUAGCCAUCGAUCCUGCUAUACCAAACUCUUGGUGCUUGUUUCAAACAAUACAAGGCUUUCUUCAGUUUGUACACCUUGUCCUCUUCACCUGCCACUUUAAAACCUUCAGGUUGCUCAACAUAGAUUUUUUCAUCAAGAAACCCAUUGAGGAAUGCUAAUUUUACAUCAAGCUGAUGAAUUUUCCACUGCAUUUGUGCUGCUAAGGCAACUAGCAGCCUUAUGGUGUCAAGCCUAGCUACUGGUGCAAAGGUUUCAAAGUAGUCAAUGCCGUACUUUUGGCUGAACCUUUUUACAACCAGCCUUGCUUUUAGUUUGCUCAAGCUUCCUUCAGCAUUGUGCUUGGCUCGAAACACCCAUUUCACCCUAAUAACCUUUCUAUUUGCUGGUCUCUCAACUAGCAGCCAAGUCUGAUUAUUUUCAGUCAUUCUGAUUUCAUCAGCCAUUGCCUAUUUCCAGCCUUGUUGAGCUUCAACUUCUUCGAAGCAGCUUGGUUCAACUGCUGCCACUUGAGCUAUUUCAUAAAUCGCAGCUAAUGGUCUAGUGCCCCUGACUGGUUCAUUAUCAAUGUCCAUUUCAAGGCCAUUUUGAUCAGCUUUAGUCUGAUCUGUCAGUAAAUCUUCAAAGACUGCCUCUGGUUCAUUCUUCUCUCAAUUCCAACUUGAAUUCUCAUCAAAGACUACAUCUUUGCUCACAAGCACUUUGUUGCAUGAAGGAUCUAGGAUUCUGUAGCCUUUCUUCAUACUGCUAUAUCCCAUCAGGAUGCCAGGUUAGGAUGCAGUGAUUUUCUUAUGAUUGAACUCGCAUUGAGUUUCAUAGUUCACUUCUCUUUUAUUUCCAUCUUUACAGAUAAUCCACCAAGUUAGGAUGCAGACUCGGCAUACAGAGGACUCGACUCGGGUUUUAUUUAUUAAAAUAUUUUGGAUUUAUUAUUCAAAAUUUUUCGUUAUUCAGGAACUAUAAUAUCUUAUUUAAAUCAUGGCAUGAGACUUAGGUUUUUGUUUAAUUUAUCAUGUAUGACAUAUAAUAUAAUUUAAUAUAUUAUUUUUAAUUAAUUAAGCAUGAAAUAUGAUUUUAAUAAAAUUAAGUUGAAAAUCAUUUUUCCAUUGCUAAAUUAUAGUUUAGUAUUGAGUUGUAAAUAAAUCAGAAAAUUUAACUAAUUUUCAAUCUCAUGUGUUAUACUGAAAAUAAGCUAAGUUUUCCAUAUUUUAAAUUGGUCAUUUUUUAAACUUUGAUCGCUAUUGGGCUAUUUCAGUGGCCGAUAUAAUCUCUCAAAUUUAGAUCUAAUGUAUAGGCUGAGUUGAAGAGGUUACAACAAGAUGCAAGAUUAAUGUUGUUUUGUUUGAAGUAUAAAAUUAGUAAAACACAUAGCAAGGAUAACAUUGUUGGAGAUUAUGGUAUGCUAAAAUGUUGAAGUAGGGAAUUUGACAAAGGAAAGAGAUGACACCUCAACAGUUUAUGAUGCACUUCGAUAUGAGUCAUCACGAGAAAUAUCAGUGUGAAAAGGUGUGUGUAUUUCUAUGACCAAGAGCUAUGGUUUUAUUAACAUAUAUAUAUAUAUAUAAUAGACCUACAUUACAAUACAAUCGGCUAAUGUGGGUGGCAUGCCAUAAGCAAAUUGAAGAAUUGUUGAAAGAUAUUGCACUUGAAGAAGUAGCCAAGUUACCAUUUUUUCACAUUCCCUUAUUAACUGUCUCAGCAGAAAGCUUGGAGAAGACAGGAGAUAUUCAUUUAGUAGUGGCGGCAUUUAUAGCCACUGUGGCAUUCGUAGCAACCAUAACUGUUCCAAGUGAUUUCAAGGGUGAAAAAAUGUCAGAGCGGGGAACUCCUUUUCUAAUUUACGAGGCAGCCUUUAAAGCAUUUGUUAUGCAUUGGCCUUUAUUCUCUUUGUUUUUGCCCUCUCCAUCCACUUUGGAAUUUUGGAUCCUCUUUUAUCAAAAAUAAAUUAUUGAGAUAUUAAUAUAAUUUUAUAUUAAACCCAGUUCAUGUCUAAUGUCCUUGGUGACUGCUUUCCACAUAGGUGGUUAUGUGAUUUUAAAACCUUCUCAUAGACUUGCAUAUUGUUUCAUCUGCCCUGCCUUUUUUGUUCAAUUCUUCUCCUUCUUUGCCAAGUAUUUUCUUUACAGUUUCCUUAAACCCAAAUUUCACCGUAAAAAACUCCUCCUUUAUUGACCUGACCUCUAACCAGAGAUUUUCGUUUUGUUUAAAGUAAAAUUAUAAAGUUAAUAAAGCACAAAGCAAGAAUAGUACUUAGGGCAGCAUCGCCUUGACCACAAAGAGCUGUUCACCCCAUUUUCUUCCCUUCUUUUUCUUCAAUUCUUCUUCUUUGCCAAGUGUUUUCUUUACAGUUUCCUUAAACCCAAAUUUCACCAUAAAACCUCCUACUUUAUUGACCUGACCUCUAACCCUGUAUAUUACUAUUACUAAAGUGUUCAAGUAUGAAACUAUAUAUAUAUAGUUGUAGGUGACUUGAAUGGAGGAUAUGCAAGCAACAAACAAAUAGGUAUGGCAUUUGGUAAAUUUCUUAAUUUGCAGUUUUUUUUUUUCUUGAGCUUGGGAUGUUUCAAGAUAAUUAAUUAAAUUUUGUUUGGUGUUAUAUCCAGGUAGAAAUAGAUCAACAAAAAUGGGACCUCAGGAGCCUGAAGAGAACAUCAGUCACAUGGAUGCUUCGCUCUAUAAGGCAGCAGCAGAAGGCAACAUUGAAGUAUUCAAUAAUAAGCAGGGACUUCAACUUGAGUCGCUAAAGACCCCAAACCAUGACAACGUCCUCCAUGUUAACUUGGCAACCCAGGAGACUGCCGCCUGGCUUUUAAACAGAUUUCACUCAUGCGAUCCGGUUAUGAGUUUUUUCAUUACUAUGAUAAAAAGAGAAAAAAGAUCAGAUUUUAUCGAACAAAUUCUCAGCAAGUGUCCGUCACUGCUACUCCAAACGAAUGCUAAAGGUCAAACUCCUUUACACGUUGCAGCAAGGAAUGGACAUUCUGCUAUUGUGAAACUUCUAAUCAAGUUUUGCGCAAAAGCUAGAGAUGGAGAUUUAGAGAAGCUGGGAAUGGAUCAAGUAAAUGCAGUGAGGGAGAUGCUGAGGAUUACGGAUCAGGAAUCCAACAUGGCUUUACACAAAGCAGCACGUUGUGGCAAUGUUGAAGUGGCGAAAGCAUUGUUGGAGUUUGAAGACCCUGAAUUUCCGUAUUCUGCCAACAAAAAACAGGAGACUCCACUUUACAUAGCAGCUAGGAGGAGAGGAUCUGGGCGCUUGUUGACUCUAUUAUUAGAUAAAUUCAAAUCAACUGCUCAUGGCGGCCCUCACGGUAGAACAGCUUUGCAUGCAGCAGCUAUGGCUGGUGAUGCAGGUAUGUUGUUGAGUUAGUUCCAUUUUUUCUUUUUUUGAAAUAAAUAGAGAACAGGUCUAUUGAUUUUUUUUUUUUUUUGCUUGGAUUUAGAGGCAAUAAAGGUAAUAUUAAAUAAGAAGGGAAAUUUGACAAAGGAAAGAGAUGAAGAUGGACACACCCCUCUCCAUUAUGCUGCACACCUUGGUAAUAGAUUGUCAGUUGUGAAAGAACUGUUAAAAAGGGAUGUAACAGCUGCCUAUAUAGGUGAUAAAAUGAGGGGGAUGGCACCCCUUCUUAUGGCAGCGAGGCAAGGUCAUCUUUUAACAGUUUCAAAGAUUCUCUCUUUAUGUCCAGAUUGUUGUGAAAAAGUGGACAACAAAAGUUUGAAUGUACUUCAUUAUCUGGCUUUUAGAGGCUCUCUGUUGGAACAAUGGCAGUAGCAAAGAAAGCAAAAACGAAUGAAAGAAAACAAAAGAAAAAGAACUCAGCAAGAAAAUUUGUAACUGAAAAGUCAUCAUAGUUUCAUUCAAAUUUUGAAUAUAUGAAGAUUACAAAAGUAUUUGACAGUUACCUACUAAUUUAACUGCUCUUACUUAAUACUUACUAAAAAUAUAGCAACUUGUAUACAAAAGAAAGCUGGCAUACCAGCUAUUACAUCAGUCAAUCUUUCCUACUAACUUAGCUAACUCAUUACAAAGAUUUAGGCUAAGUUCCAUAGGAACAAAUAUUCAAAAAAUAAUUUUAUAACUGAACCAACUCCAUUUCUUUGCUACAAAACAGUAUAGUAGCUAAAAUUGUACAAUUUGCCGCUGUUGGUCUUUUGACCAAUUUGUUGCUGUUGGUUCUUUGUUGCAAUGCAGGCCACGGCUUCAACACUCCUCCUUGGUCUGUAUGCAACAAACACCAAUCCUUUCCUUCAAAGCAUUAAAUCGGUUGGCUCCCAAUGGUUUAGUUAAAAUGUCAGCUAGCUGAAUUUCUGAGCUGCAAUGAACUAAGCUAACCUCCCUAGAUUGCUCAGCUUCUCUAACAAAAUGGAAUUUAAUUUUGAAGUGUUUAGUCUUACCAUGGAAGACUGGAUUCUUGGCUAUGGCCACAGUUGAUUGAUUAUCCACUCUAAUCUCAGUAGGCUGAACUUGACUUUCAUUCAAAUCAUCCAAAAUCUUCCUAAGCCAAAUGGCUUGGUUCACAGCUGCUGCAGCUGAGAUAUACUCAGCCUCUGCUGUAGAUUGUGCAACAGUUUGUUGCUUCUUGGAACUCCAGCUGAAAACACUCGAGCCUAAGGUGAAAAAAUAACCUGAAGUGCUCCUCAUGUCAUCAACUGACCCUGCCCAAUCGCUAUCAGAAUAGCCUACGAGUUUCAGCUCCUUUGCCCUCCAAAACUUCACACCAGUAUCGAUGGUUCCUUUGACAUACCUUAACACUCUUUUUGCUGCCUUCAGAUGUGCCACAUUACUGCAGUGCAUAAACCUUGAAAGUAGACUAACAGCAUAGACAAUGUCUGGUCUAGUUGCUGUUAAAUAAAGCAAACAACCAAUUAAGCUUCUAUAUGCCUUCUCAUCUACUCGAUCAUGUUCACUGGCACUUGACAAUUUUUCUCCCAAUGCAACUGGUGUAGUGACUGAUUUGCAUUUCAACAUGAAAAAUUUUUCAAGCACCUUGGAAGUAAAUGUUUACUGACUUAUGAAAAUGCCAUCACUUCCUUGUUUUAUCUCCAUGCCAAGAAAGUAGGUCAUCAGACCAAGGUCAGUCAUCUCAAAGACAUGUUGCAUCUGUUUCUUGAAGUCUUCAAUAAGUUCAUCUUUGCAGCCAAUAACCAACAGAUCAUCAACAUACAAGGAAACAAUUAACAAGGUUUCCUCCUGAUCCUUCUUAACAUAGAGUGUAGGCUCACUGAUACUCUUUGUGAACCCGAGCAUUGCUAAGUAGCCAUCAAUCCUCUCAUACCAGGCCCUUGGAGCCUGUUUUAGACCAUACAAAGCCUUUUUCAGCUUGUAGACCUUCUGUUCUUCACCAGUGACCUUAAAACCCUCAGGUUGCUCAAUGAAUAUUUCUUCAUUAAGAAAUCCAUUUAGAAAGGCUGACUUAACAUCCAGAUGAUGCACCUUCCAAUGCUUUUGAGCUGCCAAAGCUAGCAGCAAUCUGAUAGUAUCCAACCUUGCAACAGGUGCAAAGGUUUCAGAAAAAUCAACCCCUUGCUGCUGACUAUAACCUUUAACAACCAGUCUGGCCUUAUGUCUAUUAAGAGAGCCAUCUGCAUUGUUCUUAAUUCUAUAGACCCACUUUACACCUAUAAUUUUUCUGUUUUCAGGUCUGUUUACAAGCUCCCAUGUAUCAUUUUUCUGAAUCAUUUUAAAUUCAGCUUCCAUAGCAUCCUGCCAGCAUUUUUCUUUUGCAGCUUCUUCAAAACAUGAAGGCUCUACUAUAGUUACUGUACAUCUCUCAUAGAUGUCAGUUAAUGUCCUGGUGCCUCGAACAGGUUGAUCAUCAUAGCCAUUUUCAAUUACUUCUUCAUUUUCAGCUUGCUGCAGAUCAACAUCAAUCUCUUCUCCAUCUGGAAAAUUUGCUUCAAUUCCAUCCCAUUUCCAGCUACUUGCUUCACUGAAUUUCACAUCUCUGCUCACUACAACCUUCUUGGUCAGUGGAUCAAAGACUCUGUAUCCUUUCUUCACAUUGCUGUAGCCAACAAACACCCCAGGCAUGGACCUCCUGUCCAACUUGGUUCUUCUCUCCUCAGGUACCAACACAUAACAUAGACAGCCAAAUACCUUCAAAUGAGAGACAGAUGGUUUCUGUGCAAACCAGGCUUCAAAGGGAGUUUUUCCUUUGACUGCAUUAGUUGGCAACCUAUUCAACAGGUAAAUAGCUGUAUUCACAGCUUCAGCCCAAAAAACAUUAGGCAUUUUAGCCUCAAAUAACAAACACCUAGCCAUAUCAAGGACUGUUCUGUUUUUCCUUUCACAAACACCAUUUUGCUGUGGUGUGUACACAGUAGUCAAUUGGUGUUGAAUUCCAGCAUCAUCACACAAUUUUUGAAACUUCUGAGAUACAUACUCAGAACCAUUGUCAGACCUCAAACAUUUUAAUUUGCAAUUUGCUUGGUUUUCGACCAAGGCUUUAAAUUUGCAGAAAGAGUCAUAAACAUCUGACUUAUGCUUCAAAAAAUUUACCCAACAGAACCUUGAAUAAUCAUCAAUGAAGAGUACAAAGUACCUGCUGCCAUUUAAGGAGGUAGUCUUCAUUGGUCCACAGAUGUCUGUAUGAAUAAGCUGAAGCUUCCCUUGUGCUCUCCAUGCCUUGUUGACUGGAAAGGGUAAUCUGGUCUGUUUGCCUAGCUAACAGACCUCACAUACAGCAUCCUUUGGCUCAAUUUUGGACAUAUCACUGACCAAAUCCAUUUUGUGCAGCAUGCUCAGUGAAUUGUAGUUCACAUGCCCCAUCCUCCUGUGCCACAAGUCUGUCUCAUCAGACUGAGAUGCGUAUGCCUUGGCUUGCAGUUGAUUCACAUCCACAAUGAAGGUUCUGUCUUGCAUAGCCACUGUAGUCAACACUUCACCAGCAGCAUUUUUGAUCAAACAGUUUUUGCCUUCAAAAAUCAGAGAGUAACCCUUCUCCAAUAGCUGGCCAACACUUAGCAAGUUUUGGUCAAUGUCAGGUACAUAGAGAACCUCUGAAAUGGUUUUAAUACCUGACUUAGUGCUUAUCAAAGCCUUGCCUUUCCCUUUUGCCUCUAGCAGCUCACCAUUGCCAAUUUUGACUUUGGACUUGAAGGUGGUGUCAAGCUCCUUAAAUAUACUCUUCUUAGAAGCCAUAUGGUGGGUACAUCCACUGUCAAUCAACCAUAUUUUACUAACUUUGCUCGAGCUUGCAAAGCAUGAUGCUGAAAAGACAUGCUCUUCUGGUGAUUCAACCUCUUUUGCAGCUUGAGCUUGGCUUUGAAAUUGUGGUUGUGGUUUUGGCUUGCUCUUACAGACCUUUUCAAUGUGGCCAAAUUGCUUGCAGGCUCUACAUUGAAUGUCUGGUCUGUACCAGCAGUAUUUCUCAAGAUGAGUAGUCUUCUUGCAAUGGACACAAGGUGGGAACUUCCUUUUGACAGGUUCUUUCUUCUUCUUCUCAGUCCAGGGCUUCUUGCCUUUGGCAUUUAAGUUUGCACUUGAGCUUUCUCUGCUUCUAGCCUGAAAAGCUCCUUCAUAGUGGUCCUCCUGCCUAUUUGCCAUUCUCUGCUCUUGAGCAUAGAGAGCAUUUAUAAGCUCUGUCAAAGGGAUUGUUGACAAGUCCCUUGAAUCUUCCAGAGAAGAAAUUUUUGCUUCAUACUUCUCUGGCAAGGUUGUUAUGACCUUCUCAACCACUCUUUGGUCACUGAAUUCUUCCCCAAGCAGCCUUAUGUUGUUGACAGUAGCCAUGAUUCUGUCAGCAUACUGCUUGAUGGUUUCUGAGUCCUUCAUUUUGAGAUUUUCAAAAUCUCUUCUCAUGUUGAUCAGCUGCUGUUGCCUGGUCUUGUCAGACCCCUGAAACUCCUCCUUGAGUUUGUCCCAGGCCUGCUUUGGAGUGUCACAAGCCAUUAUUCUUGUGAAAAUAACAUCAGAAACUCCACUUUGAAGGCACGACAUAGCCUUAUACUUCUUGGCACAGUCUUCAUUGUGCUGCCUAAUCUGGGCUAUAGUCGGGUUGGCUCUUAGUGGUGGUGGCUCAGUGUCAUUGAGAACAACAUUCCACAGGUCGUGUGCCUGCAGGUAUGUUCUCAUUUUCACUGCCCAGAUGUUGUAAUUUUCUCCAGCAAAGACAGGUGGAGGAGGUGGUGUAAAACUCAUUUUUCAGCAAGCAAAACAACCUCUUCUUCUUUUGUUUCAAACACAAUUUGCUUAGUGACAGUGUACAACCAAGGCCCUCAAAGACUGAAAGCUCUUGAUACCAUUUGUUGGAACAAUGGCAGUAGCAAAGAAAGCAAAAACGAAUGAAACAAAACAAAAGAAAAAGAACUCAGCAAGAAAAUUUGUAACUGAAAAGUCAUCAUAGUUUCAUUCAAAUUUUGAAUAUAUGAAGAUUACAAAAGUAUUUGACAGUUACCUACUAAUUUAACUGCUCUUACUUAAUACUUACUAAAAAUAUAGCAACUUGUAUACCAAAGAAAGCUGGCAUACCAGCUAUUACAUCAGUCAAUCUUUCCUACUAACUUAGCUAACUCAUUACAAAGAUUUAGGCUAAGUUCCAUAGGAACAAAUAUUCAAAAAAUAAUUUUAUAACUGAACCAACUCCAUUUCUUUGCUACAAAACAGUAUAGCAGCUAAAAUUGUACAAUUUUCUGCUGUUGGUCUUUUGACCAAUUUGUUGCUGUUGGUUCUUUGUUGCAAUGCAGGCCACGGCUUCAACACUCUCCCUCUCCAUUUGGGAAUUCUGUUUUCAAGAGUGGUCAUAUUGAGAUUGUAUAUGGAUCAGUCAAAACUCUAAUGGAGUUGGAAGGUGCCUUUGGAAUGACACCUCAAGAUGUUGAUAAUGCAGUUCGAUCUCAUAAACAUCAUCAUAAACAGGUAGUUGUGUGUACAUAUUACAUUUCUAUAGCUAUGUUUUUAUUAAUAUUUAAAAUUUUGAAUUAACAUAUUUAAUAAACCUACAAUACAAUGGGCUAACGUGGCGGCAUGGCAGAAGCAAAUCAAAGAAUUGUUGGAAGAAAUUGAGAAUGAUCAAGUGGCGGAGGAACCAGUUCAUCACUUUACCGUACGAAAUAAUUCUAUAGAAAGUUUGGAGAAGACAGGAAAUGCUCAUUUAGUAGCUGCAGCACUUAUAGCCACCGUCGCAUUUGCAGCAGCAAUAACUGUUCCUGGUGGUUUGGAGAGUGAAAAAGGGUCAAAUCGAGGCACUCCCAUUUUGAUUCAAGAGGCAGCCUUUAAAGCAUUUGUUGUAACAAAUGCAAUGGCCUUUAUUUUCUCUGUUUCUGCCCUCACCACCUACUUUGCGGUUCUGGAUCAUCUUUUUACACGAUUUAUUUUUUGGCGUGAAGCAAUAAUUUUAAAUCGAACUUGGUCUGUUUCUAUGCUCCUUAACUAUGCAACGCUUGCAAUGGUAAUUGCUUUCAGCACGGGUAGUUAUGUGGUCUUAAAACCUUCCCACGAACUUGCCAUUGUUUCAUAUCUCAUAUGCCCUGCCUUUUUACUUUGUAAGUGGACAGCUUUGUUUGUAAUUUUGAGUCAUUCAAUACAUAUUUAAAAUAUAAAUAUGAUAAUAUUACUUUAUGGAUUAUUACAAUGUUGUUUCGAUUAUUAUAAAUUCAAAAAUAUUUUAUUUCCUUUUAAUAGUUUUUCAAAUAUUAAAUAUAUAACGCAAAAUAUAUAUAUAUAUUUUGUUUCUCAUGAAAAAUAGAUAUCAAUCAUGCUUUUCAAGUUUUCAUUAUUGAAAACAAAAUUUUAUUUCUAGUUAUCAAACUUGAUUUUAAAUUUUCAAAAAAUAGAAAAUAAAAAUAUUUUCAGAAACCUAACAAAGCUUAACUUUUUUUUUUGUUAAUAUACCAUUUGGUAUUUGAGUUAGUUUUAUUGUUCAAUUUGAUAAUUAAUUUCGGCUUCAAUAUUUAAUUUGAUAUCUAAACCAAAUGGUUUCAUAAGGCCUAAUAAAUAUUUGACAGGUCUACUCUAAAAAAUAGACGUGGGUAUUCUAAUUGAGACAAAAAAAAAAAAAAGAAGAAGCUCAAGUAUUAAAUUGAACUUUUUUAAAGUUAAACUCGGAUACUUAACUAUGACAAAAAGAAACUCAAGUAUCAAAGUAAAAAAAUUAAGUACAAAAUUGAACAUUCAAACCAAAUUCAUAUACAAAAUUAUAAAAAAUAAUCUUUUAAUACUAAAUUAAAAUUUGAAGUGAAAUUCAAGUAUCAAAUAAUAUAUUAACUCUUCUUUUUCUCUUAGAUCCUCACCUUGAAAAAAGCUAAUUAAGGUUAUUUGUUUUACAUUUACAACUUAAAAUUUUCAUAUAAAUAGAUUCUGUAUUUAUAAAAAUUUAUUUUUAUUAAAGAUUAAAUAAGAUUUAAAUGGUGUGUUGUUCUAAAGUUCACAAAUUUUUAUUUAAAAUAAUUACAUAAAAGUAAUAAAAAUUCAAAAUUUCACACCAACAAUAUAAAGUUAAAAAAUCACACAUAAAAAAUAGCAUUGCUAAAGAUUCUGCUUUACUAAAUUGUUUAAGUAAGGAAUUAUACAUGCCAUGGUGCUUUCUUUGUACCAAUGAUCUCUUUGGAUGGGUGAUGUGUUUAUUUACGAUUAGUAUAAAAAUAACAAUGUAAUACCUCAAAUUCGGUCUAGACGUUAUGACCGAAUAGGACUACAAGAGUUCAUCCAUCCAAUCACACCAAUAUGUGGCGGUGUGCCACUCAUAAAUAUGUAGCUGAGCUUCCAUAUAGAAAUUUGCUCUAGUCGCCAUAUAUUUGCGGUAAAAACUGUCAUAUAACACUUCCUCUAUUUUAUCAUAACCCAACUCAAUGCAAAUGUAAAAUCACGUUAACAUUCAUACAUAUAAUAUAGAUCGUAUGGCAUGCAUGCAUAAAUAGAUAUUAUACAAAGCAUAACACAACACAUAACUUAUACAGAUCAUAACAGAUUGAGAUUAUGCUGCACACAGAGGUUGCAAUUUUGUCGUGGAAGAACUGUUAAAAAGGGAUGUAUCAGCUGCCUAUGUAAGUGACAAAAAGAGGGGGAUGACACCCCUUCUUAUGGCAGCCAAGCAAGGUUAUCUUUUAACAGUUUCAAAGAUUCUCUCUUUUAUGUCCAGAUUGUUGUGAAAAAGUCGACAACAAAGGUUUGAAUUUACUUCAUUAUCAGGCUUUUAGAGUGUCAUCUUUUCAAGCUUGGUGGUAUUGGGAUUGCAUAUGGAUCGGUCAGAAAUUUAAUGGAGUUGGAAGGUGCCUUUGGAAUGACACCUCAAGAAGUUUAUAAUGCACUUCAAUAUGAGAAACAUCAUCAUAAACAGGUUUAUAAUCAAUGAUUUUUUUAUAUCUCAUCCGCACUUCAUUUUGGUGGCCUCCUCCACAUGGAUGGUUAAAGUUUAAUGUGUGUGGGAUUGCUAAAGAAGAUAGAGCAGGUUGUCGAGGUGUCUUGAGAGAUAAGGAGGGUGUCGCAAGAGCAUUAUUUUCUGGUUCAGUUGCAGCAAAUGAUGCCGAUGUGGCUGAGAUUGGUGCGGUGAAGAUUGCUCUGUAAGUAUUUUUUAGCUAUGAACUGGAAGAUUAAUGAUUCUUUAUUUAUUGAACUUGGUUCAUUGGUGGUGUUUUCUUGGUGUGCUAACAAGGUAAUGAGACCAUGGUCUCUUCAAGCAAUUUUUGCAGGUAUUGAAAAUGACAUGUUAAAGGCCGGAAAUGUUGUAUUCUCAUUGGCGGAUAAGAAAGGUAACGAGAUGGCAUCUUCCUUGGCAAUUGCAGGUUUUAAUCGGGUGAAAAUGUUUAAAGCUUGGUGAUGAAUUUUUGUUUUGUUGCAUUCAUAGGUUUAUUAGAGUUGGAAUGCGUUUUACUUUUGAUUGCUGUAAUACUGAAAUUUUUGUUGUUGUUCUGUUCGUCUUUGACAACAGUACAGCUCGAAUGGAGCCAAAAAAAAAAAAAAAAAGGGAAUGUUACAUCUUUGUAUAAGCAUUACUUUAAUUUUCAGUUAUAAUUAAAAAUUAGUUUGACAAAUCAUUGAAAAAUAUGAGAAUUUUAAGUUUAAGAAAAACACAAAGUUUUAUUUAAAAGUGGGAAGUCGUCCUCAACUUUUCUAGUUAGCUGCGAUUAGACACAUUUAAAAUCAAAAUUCUUUUUUAAAAAGAUAAAAUUGAGUUUACAAUAUAAAUCCAAACAAAAAUGUUUAGGUUAAUUAGAGAAUUUGUUAUACGAAAGGAAGAUUUUAGCAUCCUCAUGACGCCAAAAAUUAAUUCCUUGUUAAAUAUGUGUUGUCUACAUUCGUAAAUUAAAACUCAUAUCUUGGUUUUUGAUUAUGAUCCAAUUUUUUGAUAAAUUAAAAAUAAAUAUUAAAUGAGUGAAUCAAUUUUUUAAUAGCAAAACAAAGAUAAUGAUCAAGAUGUAGCAUUUUCAAAAUUCAGGGGCCCUUUUUGAGAUUUUCCAUUUAUUUUUCAUCAUGUUUAAAAGAGAAAAGUUAUAAAUUUUGAAGUCAGUAGCCCAAUAUUUAUUAAGCCCAAAUCAAAUAUUAGCUCAAAGUUCAGAAGCAUUCGAAUUUUAAAAUUGUGAAAUUACAUUUAAUAGAAAGCAAUAACAUUUCAAAAGCUAAUAAAUAUUAACAAAAAUCGGAUCCGAUAUCAACAACAUAAAAUUUGAUAUUAUCAUGUAAGCCGCUAUUUUUAAAUAUUUAAUGUUUUAGUCAAUAUUUUUGUUAAAAAAAUCAAUUUGAUUGCUUUUGAAAGGUUUAUGGCUAAAUUCGAGUCUUUUUUUAAAAGAUUGAUGACCAAAUUUAGCUCAAGAAAAGAAUAAGGGCCAAAUUGAUAAAAAAAAUUUACAUAAAUACUACGAGCUAAUUUUAUCAUUAUGCCUAAUGAAAAUUAAGUUGUAUACUUUUAUGAUAGUAAAAAAAAAUGUAAUUUCAUAAUUUUAAUAGCUUAAAUCUUUAUAAUAUUUAAAAGAUUAAAUCAAAUAUUUAUAAUUUUUAGAAGGUCAAAAUAUAAUUUUAUCAUUAUUAAUUUAAAAUUUUGUAAAUUAUAGAUAGGUUAAAAAGAGAGACCUAUUGUCCCCUUGGCUCCACCCCUAAACCCAUACGUUUUCAUCCAACUUUGAAAGUCCUUUCAAGCUUUCCAAUCUAUUAUAUUUGAUGUCUCAACGAUCCUAACUCUCGACCAAAUAAUCUUUUUCACUAUUUUUAAACUAAUAUACUUAGGAUUGAGGUAGAAUAAGGACAUGGUGAACUCCAAAAGUAAAUUAAUUUUUAAAGGGAUUUAAGACUAAUUCAUUUUGUGUCAAGUCUACAGUAUUAUUAGUUCAUAUUAACACAUCUCUGUCUUCACUUGAAAGUUAAUCUUACUCCGGCACAAUCAAGACAAAUUAUGUCUCAUUAUUAGAUUUUAGACAACGUAUAAAUCUCUUUCUCUUCGUAAUUCUAUAGAUUACAAGUCAUGUAUUUAAAUUAUCGACUAAUGGAAAUUGUCUUUUGCAUACAAAACUAAAUUUGUGAUGCAACUCCGAAUUAAUUUAACAUAGGAAAAGAAGGGAGUGCGGCUUCCAUGCAGCAACGACCAAAGCCAAAGAGAAGGCGUGCUGCCUAAUUUCUUGCCCUUCUCAUCCACACAAUUUCUUGACUUUUCUUGUGUUUCUCAUCCACACAAUUAAUUUAUAUUUUAGUAACACAUUUUGAUUUUGUUUCCCUUGUAAAUAUUUAAAAAUAUAUAAAUCUAAGUAUUUACAUGUUUGAUAAAUAAAUUGUUUGUAUAAAAAAAGUGAAUUUUAAAUUAUGUCAUAAUAGUUACAAUAUUAAUGGUUUGCGAAAUUUAAUUAAAAUUAAAAUUCGUUUUUAUAAUUAAACAAAUUAAAAUUUAUGUUUCAUAUUGCAAAUUAAAUUAAAGUUAAUACAUGAUUUUGAUUUUUAUUUCUUUGCAUUUUCGUGAAAAAAGUAUUGACUUCACCAAAAAGAGCUGGAGAGCUCAUUUUCUUCCAUUCUUCUCCUUCUUUGCAGUUUCCUUAAACCCGAAUUUCACCAUAAAAAACUCCUAAAAAUGAUGGAUUAGGUGCAUCUACUUUUCAACAAUUGUUAGUAUUUUAACCAUCUUUAUUAACUUUGUUUUAGGGCCAUUUGCUUUCCUUUUCGUUUCAAUUAAGUCAUCAUAUGAUAAUAAUAUUUAAUGUAAGUUAUACAAAUAGCCAUUUAAUUAUUAGCACAUUAUUAUUUUGGUCACUCGUGUUUAAAAAAGUUUAAUUUAGUCACUAAUAUUAUGGACAAUUGAUAUUUUUGUCAUUCCUCGUUCAAUUAUUAAUAGAAUCUUGAUGCAACUUUUUUAUUGGCAUAUUAAUAAAUUUAGCUUUUCAAUCUCUAUAAAUUUUAUUAAUUUGAUCUUAAUUCUAAAAAAUAAAUUUAACCCUUAACUUUACACAUUAUGUUAAUUUAAUCUUGAUUCUUAAAAUUUUAAAAAAUAAAAAUAUAUAUUUAAAAGUUUUUUUUUUAUAAAAUACAUAUACAAAUUUAUAAAAUGCAUACAAAAAUAUAAAAAUAUUUAUAAAUAAAUGAAUACUAAUUUUUUUCUUCAAAGAAAUCCUUCAAAGAAAAUCUAGGGUUUAGUCUGAAUGAGUCAAUAUUAACUAACAUGACCAAAAUUUAGUCUGUAACAGUUUUCUGAGCUACCAAACACCGUCUUAGAAUAAAAAAGAGCAUAGGGCAGCAUUAACUUGACCACGAAGAGCUCUAGACCCCAUUUUCUUCCAUUAUUUUCUUUAAUUCUUCUCCUUCUUUGCAGUUUCCUUAAAACCAAAUUUCACCAUAAAAAACCUCCUACUUUAUUGACCUCACUUCUAACCCAAUAUAUCACUAUUAUUAUUACUAAAGUGUUCAACCAUAUAUGGUUGCCAGUAGUUGACUUGAAUGCAGGAUUUGCAAGCAAGUAACUAACUGGUAUGGCAUUCGGUAAAUUUCUGAUUUUGCAGUACUUUUUUCUUGAGCUUCGAAUGUUUCAAGCUAAUUAAUUCAAUUUUGUUUGGUGUUAUCCAGGAAGAAAUAGAUCAACAAAAAUGGGACCUGAAGAGCCUGAACAGAACAUCACUCACAUGGAUGCUUCGCUGUAUAAGGCAGCAGUAGAAGGCAACAUUGAAGAAUUCAAUAAUAAGCAGGGGCCUCAGCUUGAGUCGCUAAAGACCCCAAACCAUGACAACGUGCUCCAUCUUAACUUGGCAACCCAGGAGAAUGCUACCUUGCUUUUUAACAUAUUUCUCUCAAUAAUCAAAUUCUUCCCCGUACUAUAUGGAUGCUUCUCUCCGCCUAUGCGUGAUUUAAUUACUAUUAUAAGAGGAGAAAAAAGAUCAGAUUUUAUCGAACAAAUUCUCAGCAAGUGUCCGUCAAUGCUACUCCAAACGAAUGCUAAAGGCCAAACUCCUUUGCACGUUGCAGCAAGGUAUGGUCAUUCUGCUAUUGUGAAACUUCUAAUCAAGUCUUGUGCAAAAGCUAGAGAUGGAGAUUUAGAGAAGCUGGGAAUGGAUGAAGUAAAUGCAGUGAGGGGGAUGCUGAGGAUUAGGGAUCAGGAAUCCAACACGGCUUUACAUGAAGCAGCACGAUGUGGCAAUGUUGAAGUGGUAAAAGCAUUGUCGGAGUUUGAAGAACCUGAUUUUCCGUAUUCUGCCAAUAAAAAACAGGAGACUCCACUUUACAUAGCUGCUAGGAGAGGAGACGGAGGCAUGCUGAGUAUACUAUUAGAUAAAUCAAAAUCAACAGCUCAUGGCGGCCCCCACGGUAGAACAGCUUUGCAUGCAGCAGCUAUGGCUGGAGAUGCAGGUAUGUUGUUGAGUUGGUUCCAAUUUUUUUAAAAAAAAAUUUGAAAUAAAUAAAGAACAGGUCUAUUGGCAUUUUUUUUUGCUUGGAUUUAGAGGCAAUAAGGAUAAUAUUAGAGAAGAAGGGGAAUUUGACAAAAGAAAGAGAUGAAGAUGGACACACCCCUCUUCAUUAUGCUGCACACUUGGGUUCUAGAUUAUCAGUUGUGGAAGAACUGUUAAAAAGGGAUGUUUCAGCUGCCUACAUAGGUGAUAAAAAGAGGGGGAUGACACCCCUUGUUAUGGCAGCCAGGCAAGGUUAUGGUGGAACAUGUUCAAAGAUUCUCUCUUUAUGUCCAGAUUGUUGUGAAAAAGUGGACAAAAUAGGUUUGAAUUUACUUCAUUAUAUGGCUUUUAGAGACUCUGUCUUCCCACUAGGGAGUUCUAUUUUCAAGCGUGGUGGUGCUGAGAUUGUAUAUGGAUCAGUUAGAAAUCUAAUGGAGUUGGAAGGUGCCUUUGGAAUCACACCUCAGGAAGCUCAUAAUACACUUCGAUCUAAGAAACAACAUCAAAAACAGGUGUGUGUAUAUAUAUUGCAUUUCCAUGGCUAUGGUUUUAUUAAUAUUUAAGUUUUGAAUUAACAUAUUCAAUAAACCUACAAUACAACCGGUUAAUGUGGGUGGCAUGACAGAAGCAAAUCAAAGAAUUGUUGGAAGAAUUGGAGAACGAUCAAGUGGCAGAGGAACCCGUUCGUCACUUUCGCUUACCAAAUGUUUCUACAGAAAGAUUGGAGGCUAUAAGAAAUACUCAUUUAAUAGUGGCAGCACUUAUAGCCACCGUCACCUUCGCAGCGGCAAUAACUGUUCCUGGUGGUUUGGAGAGUGAAAAAGGGUCAAAGCAAGGCACUCCCUUUUUGAUUCAUGAGGCAGCCUUUAAAGUAUUUGUUGUAACAAACGCAUUGGCCUUUAUUUUCUCUGUUUCUGCCCUCUUCAUCUACUUUGGGGUUCUGGAUAUUCUAUUAUCAAGAUUUAAAUUUUGGCGUCAAACAGUUUUAUAUCGAACUCGGUCUGUUUCUGGGCUUCUUGGCUAUGCAACGCUCGCGAUGAUGAUUGCUUUCAGCACAGGCAGUUAUGUGGUCUUAAAACCUUCCCACGGACUUGCCAUUGUUUCAUAUCUCAUAUGCCCUGCCUUCUUUUUCGUUCUGCAUUUGACUAUUUUUGAUUACUAUAUUACUAAGAUAUUAUUUCAUCGUUGAUUACAAUAUUUUUCCAAUUCCUAAUGUCAAUGUUACCUCUUUGAAGAAAUAUUACUUUAAUAUUAAUAAUCUCCAUUUAAUUGUAAUUAAUAUAAAAUUAUUAGUUGCUAGACAUACAAUUUCAAAUAAAGUAAAAUUUAUUAAAUAUCAAAGAAUAAUAAAGAUGAUGUAAUUAACUCUCGGUUAUAAUUAAAAAUUAGUUGCAUUAUAAUAUGCAUGCCCUGUAAUUUUGAUAAUUUUGAUUCUUUUUCUAAUAAUUUAGUAAUUUAAUGAUGUUUAACAACUUUGUUUUCGCACGUUAUAUAAUUUUAUUUAAUAUUUUAUAAUUAAAUUAAAAUUUUAUGUAUUCAAAAUAACCUAAACUUACCUAACCUUUGAAUUAGAUUCAAUCUUAUAAUAUUUGUAAUUAAUAUAAAGUAGUAAACUAUUCUUAGUCAUGAAUUAAUUUCUUCCUCCAAUACUUGCAUGCAAAACCAAAGACAAUGAGAUUAAAAAAAAAAAAAAAUUUAAAGUUUUUGCGAUUUGGACUUUCAAUAUUGUAACUUUAGCAUUUCGACCAUAACUUAAACUACAAAUCUCUAUUUUGAGCCCAUAAUAUAGCAUCUAAUUAAAAUUAUUUCACAAAUCAAGCACCAAAACCUCAUGAACGCAUCUAAAAAUAGCCUGGAAGUUUGACACGAAAGUUGCUAAGAAAUCUUGAAAAAAUCUGCUUUAUAUAAAUAGAUAAUUUUUUGUAUUUUCUCUAUUAUAUUAUCUUUGCCUUAUAAACAUACAUUAUUAGGUUAAAACUUGAGGAGAGACCUAGACAUAGUCACCUUAGCUUUAUUUUGUUUUUGCGUUUUAUUUUCUUUAUGAGUUUUUAAAUUUUUUUUCUAGUUUAAGGUCAAUCAAAGUUUGAUUCAAUAAAUUUAUGAGACAUGAUUUGCACUUUAAUUCUUUUUUGUUCUUUGAUAUUCAUGCAUCUUCUGUUAUAAUUACAAUUGCUCAAGUUUAUUACUAUUGAGUCAUCAACUAGAACUAAUUUAUUAAACACAUUGAAGAUAUCAUUAUAUCGAUGAUCGAACUUACAAAAUCAAUUGUAGAUUUUACCUUUGGGUAAAACCUUUCAACAUUGAAUUUCCUAAAAUUUUUAAUUAUUACUUUCUUUGAUUCAGCUUUUAAUUUAAAUUUAGUUUUUUUAUUUUAUAAAACCCUUUUUUUUAUUUACCUUAGUGGUUCUUACUUAAGGAAUAUAAUUAUCACUAAUAUCUAUAUAUGUGGAUAUAAUUUUGCUUCUUGUUUUCUAUUAAUUUAUAUGUUCAAAUUGAUUUUAUUUUUAUAGGUCUCGAUAGUCUAACAACUCUCUUGGAUCUUCUUGUUGAGCAUUUUUGAACUUCUUAAACCUUUGGCUUCAUUUUGACCUGUAUUUAAAAACUUUGUUUAAGUUUCAAGAUAAAAAGGUUAUCUACCAUUGCAACUCUUCUAUAGUAGUGUUAUGAUUAGUGGACAUUACUUCUGUCACUUGUAAGGAAACACUCUUUUUUCCUCUACUUCAAUUUUCUUUUUAUUUAAUCUAGAUUGAUCUCAUAGGUUUGUAGAAAUCCAAUUGAUUCAUCAAUUCACAUAUUAUCAAUAUCUUUGGCUUCUCCAAUGAUUGUGACUUUGAUGUUGAAUUUCUUUAGAAAAGAUCAAAUCACACAAUUUGGCAUAGAACUUGUCAAUUGUUUCAUUAUCCUCCAUUUUUAGAGUUUUAAACCUUGUUAUGAGCAUUUGUAAUUUAGAUUGCUUCACAAUCUCUAUAACACCCCUAAACCUCGCCUGAACGUUAUGGCUGAAUCUAGAAUGUUACGAAGAAGGGUUUUGAAACCGAUCUUUACAUGAUAAAAAAAAACCUCGUAUGGUAUCUUACUAGAAAAGAGUCCUUAUUGUAUAAAACAUAUCCAUUUAACAUUGUCUUUACUAAAACCGUUGAUAGUUUGUUCUUUAAGAAAAACUUAAUUCGCGACAGAAAUCUUAAGUGUCAUUAUAUGUCGAAAACCAAGUUUGUGUUUUCCAAAACGUUUGUUUGCAUAAAACCAUUAUUUACGAAAAAUUGUUUGUUGUGCGUUGCAGAAAACAUAAUCAAACCAAAAACAACAACAAAAACCAAAAGAAAUCAAAAAGUCCGGAGAGUCCCAAAAUUACAAAACUCUCAAGAAAAACCAUAAAUUAAAAUAAAACCAAUAAUUAAAGGAUAGUUUCCAUACUAGUGGUCAUCGCUGAGCUUCCGUUGCACCGACCUGCCUAUGUCUGAAGAUUACCUGAAUAGAGUAGACAAACAAAUGUGAGUUUUCAAAAACUCAAUGUGUAACUUAACAGAGACAUGCAUACACAUAAACUCAGAUUUCUCAUGUAGCAAAUCAGAUACGGGCAUAAGUCAUUAACAGAAUCAUAUAAUAUCAUAAUCGGAUUAUUAGAAACAUACAGAUAUCCAAAGUCCUACCCCCAUCCUCUACACACUAUCUCUGACCAUCCCAACACACCAUAUGGGGUAUAAAACACCCACUCAUCCCUACACACCACAUAGUGUCUUUACAACACUUAUCAAGAAUAGUAUGCAGUCAAGCUGCCAGUAUAUCGGCGAAAUGUCACCUCACAGAACACUUCCUCCACAUAUACAAAUCCCACCCCAUACAUAGAUACAGAUAACAGAUAACAAAUAUAACAGAACUAACAUGUCCCGCAUGCUCAUAUACAAAUAUCAUACAUGUUAUUAUGAAAUAGUCAAAUCAUACAUAUCAACUUCUAAAUACUCAAAUUAGUCUAUCAAAGUAGCAGAUAUCAUACAUUAGGGUUUGUUAUUAUGUAAUGUAUUGAAAUAAUCAUAAUCUAAACUUAAAAUAAUAAAAUAAAUUUAAAUAGCAUCGGAUGCUUAAACUAAAAUCAGAAAGAAAUAUAAAAUUAAACAAAACAUUGACUUUGUUAUACAAUAGUUUAAGUAUCAUUAAAUAAUAUUUAUAAAUAUAAAAAAGUCAAAGUCUUUUUAAAAUACUAAUUAUUUAAUUAGUUAAUGAGUGUUGCAUUUGAUCUCAUGUUAUAUAUAUUAUAAUAUGCAUGUGCUACUUGCCUGGAAAGGUUAAAAUUAGUUGUAUAAUUAAUUAAUAAAUAUUUGAAACAUUAUUUUUCUUGAAAGAUGGACUGAUUUUUAAUAGCUUCAUUAAUUAAUUAAAAUCUAAUAAUGCAACUUUGUUUUAAGGCCAUUUGCUUUCCAUUUCCUUACAAUUAAGUCAUUCAAUAACAUUUUAGUAGCGUAUUUCUGUUUUGUUCAUUCAGAUUUAAAAAAUUAUAUGUUAAUCACUUAUCGGUUGUUGAUAUUUUGGUCACUUUUCCGUUAAAUCAUUAAUAGAAUGUUAAUGCAGUUUUGUUUUUAUUGGUAUAAUAAUAAAGUUAGCUCUUUAAUGUUUAUAGAUUCUAUUAAUUUAGACCUAAUUUUAAAAAAAAACAAAUUUAACCCUUAACUUUACAUAUUAUGCCAAUUGAUCUCAAUUCUUAAAAAUUUAAAAAAUAAAAAAGAUAUUUAAAAUUUGUUUCGAUAAAAAUACAUACAAAAUUAUAAAAGUUAUAAAAUACAUACAUAUAAAUAAAUGAGUAUUCAAUUCUCUCCUUUAAAGAAAAACACGAAAAAGAACUUAUAUAAUUUAUCAUUUGUUUUGUUGAAAAUGUGGUAAAUCUUAGGGAUUUUCAUUGUUGGAAGGGUGAAAAGAAAAUCUAGGGUUUAGUCUAAAUCACUCAAUAAUAACUAACAUCAUCAAAUUUUGGAUGGACAUAAUGCAUUGAAAUAAUCAAUAAUCAAAAUUGACAUCAUAAAUACAAUCAACUUCAUAAUUAAAAUAUAUCUAAAUUUAAAUAGAUAAAACUAAAAUCAGAAAUAAAUAUGAAAUUAAACAAAACACUUACGCUGUUAUAUUGUAGUUUAAGUAUCAUUAAAUAAUAUUUAUAAUUAUAAAUAAGUCAAAGUCUUUUUAAAAUACUAAUUAAUUAAUUAGUUAAUGAGUGUUCCAUGUGAUCUCAUCUUAUAUUAUAAUAUGAAUAUGGGAAUGUGCUCCUUGCCUUGAAAGGUUAAUAUUAAUUAAUAAAAAUGUGAAAAAAUUAAAACUCGCCAUGUGCCUCCAUAAUUAGAAUUUAAUAAUGCAACUUUGUUUUACGGAUUUGCUUUCCAUUUCCUUACAAUUAAGUCUUUCAAUUAUAUUUUAGCAGUGUUUUACUGUUUUGGUCCGUUUAUGAUCAAACUCACAGAAACAAAGUUAAAUUAGUUAGGGGGUUACAAUCUCCAUGCCUUCAUGGGCAAUCUCAAAGAUUUCAAGCUAUAUAUAUGUGUCACUUGUCUUGAUAAGCCACAAGGUGUCUUGGAAUAAGUAAGGCAUUUUGUAAUUUUUCUUAAUUUGUAAUCUUUUUUUCGUUUAUCUUUGAAUGUUCCACGGUAAUUGAAUAUUAAUUGGUGUUUUCAAGGAAGAAAGCUGUGCAAUAGAUCAACAAAUAUGGGACCAUCGUUAAACGACAUUGUUAUUUCCUCCGGUGAACCUGAGAAGCCUGCAGAGAACAUCACUUGCAUGGAUGCUUCAUUGUAUAAAGCUGCAGCAGUAGGCAAAAUUGAAGAAUUCAAUAAUUACCAGGGGCCUGAACUUGAGUCGCUGAAGACCCCAAACCAUGACAACGUGCUCCAUGUUAACUUGUCAACCCCUGAGCGUAUCUGGCAACGUACCAGAUUUGAUUUUGUCCUACAAAUUCUUGACAAGUGUCCAUCACUGCUACUCCAAACAAAUGCUAAAGGUCAAAUUCCACUGCAUGUUGCAGCAAGGUAUGGAUAUUCUACUAUUGUACGACAUCUAAUCAUGUUUUGUGCAAGGGUUAUUUAUAAAGAUUUAGAGAAGCUGGGAAUGGAUCAACUGAAUGCAGUGAGGGGGAUGAUCAGACAUACGGAUCAAGAAUCCAAUACGGCUUUACAUAUAGCAACACGGUAUGGCCAUGUUGAAGUGGUGCAAGCAUUGCUGGAGCAUGAAGACCCUGAUUUUCCAUAUUUUGCCAAUAUAAACCACGAAACUCCACUUUACUUAGCAGCUAGGAGAGGAAGUCGGCGCUUGCUGAGUAUAUUAUUAGAUAAAUCAAAAUCAACUGCUCAUGGUGGCCCCCACGGUAGAACAGCUUUGCAUGCAACAGCUAUGGUUAGAGAUCCAUGUAAGUUAAGUUCCAAUUUUUUUUUUUUUGUUUGAAAUAAACAGAGAAUAGAACCAUUGACUUUUUUUUUUGGGCUUGAAUUUAGGGGUUACAAGGAUAAUACUAGAGAAGAAAGGGAAUUUGACAAAGGAAACAGAUGAAAAUGGACACACCCCUCUUCACUAUGCUGCACACUUGGGUCACGAUGCUGUUGUGGAAGAGCUGUUAAAAUGGGAUAUAUCUGUUGCUUAUAUAGGUGAUAAAAAGUGGGGGAUGACACCCCUUCUUAUGGCAGCCAGGCAAGGUCUUUUUGGAACAGUAAGAAAGAUUCUGUCUUAUUGUCCAGAUUGUUGUGAAAGAGUGGACAAAAGAGGUUGGAAUUUACUUCAUUUUAUGGCGUUUAGAGACCUUUCUCGUGGAUUCCGCAUUUUAUUAAAGAAUGAUAAUGCUACCACGACUGAAUAUGGAUCAGUCAGAAAUCUAAGGGACUGGAAAGAUGCUAGUGGAAUCACACCUCAACAAGUUUUCAAUGCAUGUCAAUAUGAUAAGGAAGAGAAAAAGGUAUAUUUAUAUUUGUAUUUGUAUGCCUACGGCUAUGGUUUUAUUAAUAUUUGUGUUUUGAAUUAUGAUUAUAUAACAUAUAUAAUAUAAUGAUCUAUAAUAUAAUCGGCUAAUGUGGUAGGAACAAAUUGUGAAAUUGUUAAAAGAAAUUGUGAAUGAAGAAGUCGCGGAGAAACCAGUUUAUCCCAUCGGCUUGCCAAACAUAUCUGCAGAUAAAAACUUGGAGAAAGCAAGAGAUGCUCAUUUAGUAGUGGCAGCACUUAUAGUCACCGUCACAUUCGCAGCGGCAAUAACCGUUCCAGGUGGUUUGCAGAGUGAAAAAGGGUUAGAGCAAGGCACUCCCCUUUUGAUUCAUGAGGCAGUGUUUAAAGCAUUUGUUGUGACAAAUUCAUUGGCCUUUAUUUUCUCUGUUUCUGCCCUCACCACCCACUUUGGGGUUCUGGAUAAUCAAUUAUCAGGAUUUAAAUUUUUUCGUGAAACAGUUUUAUAUCGAACUCAGUCUGUUUCUGGGAUCCUUGGCUAUGCAACGUUGGCAAUGGUGGUUGCUUUCAGCACAGGUAGUUAUGUGGUCUUAAAACCUUCCCACGGACUUGCCAUUGUUUCGUAUCUCAUCUGCCCUGCCUUUUUACUCUGUAUUUGGGAAAUUUUGAAUCCUUUAAUGCAAAUGUAAAAUAUAAAUAUGAUAAUAUUACUUUAUCAUUGAUUACAAUGUUGUUCCAAUUCCUAAUAAAAAAUUAAUUUUUUUUUAAAAGAUAAUUUUGAGUCUACGAUAAAAAUUAAAAAAAAAUGUUGUUUACAUAGCAUCCUCGCGACGCUCAAAAUCGGCACCUUAUUAAAUAUGUUUUGUGUACCUUGUUAAAUUAAAAUUCAUAUCUAGGUACUUAAUUAUGAUCCAAAUUUUUGAUAAAUUAAAAGCAAAGAUAUUAAAUGAGUGAAUCGGUUAUUUAAUAGCAAAACAAAAGUAAGGAUCAAGAUGUAGCAUAUUCAAAAUUCAAGGGCCUUUCUUGAGGUUUUUCAUUUUAUAUUUUUUAUCAUUAUAAAAGAUAAAAAAGUUAUAAAUUUUGAAGUAAAUGGGCCCACAGUCCAACAUUUAUUACACAUAUGAACAGAUAAGAAAACAUUUGGGCCCAAAUCGAAUAUUAUCCCAAAGUUCAUAAACAUUUGACUUUAAAAAUUGUGAAAUUAAAUUCAAAACUAAUAAAUAUUAACAAAAAUUGGAUCCCAUAUCCACAAAUUAAAACUCCAAUUCUUGUUACUUACGGAUCCUGGACGAAAUUCGGUGUUUACAAAAGGUAUCAAGUGGCGGAGGAACUAGUUUGUCCCAUUUGCUUGCCAACUAUCUCUGCAAAAAGCUUGGAGAAGAAGGGAAAUGCUCAUUUAGUAGUGGCAGCACUUAUUGCCACCUUUGCAUUCGCAGCGGCAAUAACUGUUCUUGGUGGUUUGCAAAGUGACAAAAGGUCAAAGCAAGGCACUCCCCUUUUCAUUCAUGAGGCAGCCUUCAAAGCAUUUUAUUGUAACAAAUGCAUUGGCCUUUUUAUACUCCGUUUCUACCCUCACCAUCCACUUUGGGUUAUGGAUAAUAUAUUAUCAAGAUAUAAUUUUUGGCAUCGAACAGUUUCAAAUCGAACUCGAUUUGUUUCUGGGAUCCUUGGGCAUGCAAUGAUUGCAAUGGUGAUUGCUUUCAGCACAGGUAGUUAUGUGGUUUUAAAAUCUUCCCACGGACUUGUCAUCGUUUCAUAUCUGAUCGGCCCUGCCUUUUUCUUUGGUGUGUGGCUAAUUUUGCAUGCUUCCUUAUAUAUAUAAAAUAUAAAUGUGACAAUAUACUUUAUCAUCGAUUACAAUAUUCUUCCAAUUUCUAGUUCGAAUGUUACCUCUUUGAAUAAACAUUACUUCAAUUUUUUUUUUUGAGAUAUGUCUAUCUUAUUAAAAUUAUGAAAAAGGUCAAAAAAAAAUCACAAUUUGUGUAAAGUAAGAUUUACUAAAUAUCAAAGAAUAGUAAAGAUAUAUUGUAAUUAAUUUUCGGUUAUAAUUAAAAAUUAAUUUGACAAAUAAUUGAAAAAUAUGAGGAUUCUAGGUUUAAGAAAAACAUGAAAUGUUAUUUAAAAAUGAAAAGUGGCGAUUAAAUUUUUUGGCUAGGUGUGAUCAAACACAUUUAAAGUCAUCUUCUAAAAACAAAAUUUUGAAAAUUCUUUUUUAAAAAGAUAAUUUUGGGUCUACCAUAGAAAUUCAGAGAAAAUUAUUUAGGUUAGGGAAUUGGUUACGGAAGAUUUUGGGUCUAUCUUGUUAAAUAUAUGUUGUUUACAUUCGUAAAUUAAAAUUCAUAUCUCUGUAUUUAAUUGUAACACUCCAAAAUUGGGGCGAGGAGCAGUAAGGUUUGUUGGUUUGGGGUUAGUGGUUCGUAAGUCCUAAGUUAAUUUUUGUAUUUUAAAAAUAAAAUGAGUCUCUUGAUUUAGUGGUAAAAAAUUAGUUUACCUUUAGAUCUUGUGUUCAAAUUCUCGUGAGAGCUUUGAGGAAGUUAAUUUUUGGUUUUUAAAUUUUGUUAAAUUCUAUCACGUUUGGAUUCAAUUUUCAAUACUUCACUAAGUGAUGUAUGUAUUUGGACUAUAUGGACUUUUGUUAUGGUCCUUUUAUGAUAUUACUAAUAAUUUCUUGAUUGAGAAAAAAAAAUAUAUUACUUAUGACAUGUGGCUUCCCUUGUACCAUGUUAAAUAAUCUCUCGUGUUUGCAAGAUUUUCUAUUAUGUUCGUAUAUCAAGUGUUUAUGAAUGAAGUCAAAAAAUUUUUGUUGGGAGUCUGAAGUAAUAAUUUUAGAGGGGAAAUAAUUUUAAAUAAAUUUAAAAUUAAUUUAUCUCGUGUUUAGUUUAAUGUAUUCUUUAUCUAUAUCACUAUUUAAGAGUCAAUUCUAUUUUGAUAGCGAAGAUAAGUUAUUUUCCCUUAUUGGACAUUAGACUACAUGAUAUCCUUAUAUGAAUCACUUACUUAUCAUGUUUCCAUGAGUUAAUGGACUAUUCAUUUAAAUUACAACUAAUUGAAAUUAUCUUUUGCAUCCAAAACAAUAUUUGUGAUGCAACUUCCGAUAAAUUUAACGUAAGUAACUAAUGAGCUAAUAUUUACACAUACUAUUAGUUUACAUGUUGGUUUGAAUCCAUAAAAAUGUAAAUUUAUAUAAAUGUAAAAAAAAAUUCGACAGUUUUUCAAAUAUUAAAUCUCGUACAUUCGUUUGAAUCAUAAAAAAUAUACACUUUCUAUUUUAUUAUAGAAAAAAAAGUAUAUACCAUGUUUUUCAUGUUUUCAAAAUUUUAAUUUUAUUUAUCAAAUGUGUUUUUCAAUUUGAGAAAAAAAUAAAAAUUAGAAAAUGAAAUAUUUCUUUGAAAAUGAUAAUAGGAAAUAAAAAAAAAUAUUGUAAGGAACCGAAGGAAGCUUACCCUUUUUUUUUGGAUUAAUAUACCAUUUGGUAUUUAAAUUUGGUUCUAAUGUUCAAUUUAAUACUCAAACCAAAUGACUUCAUAUAGCUUAAUAAAUAUUUUACAUGUGUACUAUGGUAAAAAAAAACAUAAGUAUUUUAAUUGAGAUAAAAAAAAUGGGUAUUAAAAGAAACAUUGAAGCUAAAUUUAAGCAUUUAAUUAUGACAAAAGGAAAUUCAAGCAUUGAAUUGACAAUAUUUGGGUACCAAAUUAAACAUUGAAGCCAAACUUAUGUACCAAUUUGGAAAAAAAAAAUCUCGAGUACAUUAACGUUCUUCUGCUAUUAAAUCUUCUCAUUGAAUAAAGCAAAAGCUAUGAUUUGCAAAGAGAAUAAAUGGUGUGUAGGAAAAAUGUAGGGAAAGAAGAAUAAAGGGGAAAUUGUAGCUCCAUCUACUUGGACCAAAUUUUUUAUUAUAUUGAUUCCUUUUAAUGAAAAAUAAUUGUACUCAGGCGCAAAAGGUGGAAAAAAAAUUUUAGAGGGUCGAAAUUAAAUUUUAAUUUUUAUAAUAAUAAAAAUGUAAUUUUAACAUUUGAAUAGCCUAUAUAUUUAUAAUGUUUAAAAGAUUAAAUCAAAUUUUUAUCAUUUUAGGGGGGCCAAAGUGUAAUUUUAUCUUUACUAAUUUAAAUUUUUUUACUUGUACUACGAGUUGUAUUGCAUUUUGCCCCAUUUAAUUUAUAAAAAAAAAGUAAAUUAGUCAUUGUAUACUAGAUCAAAGAUCAAGUUGGUCCUUCUGAUAAACAUUAGCCCAUGUACAUUAGAAUGAGGGACACGUUGCAUGUCAUGUUUAACUAUCUAACUAUUCUGUUUGUUAUGCCCGUUUUAUUGAUAGAAAAGGAUGAAACUUUUAAUAGAAAUGAUCAGUUUACUUUUUUUAUCUAAUAAACAAUGACUAAUUUACUCAUUUUUUAAAAAGAAAAGGUAAGAUACAAUCUAAACCCUAAACCUUCAUAGUACUUUUACCUUAAUUAAAGCUCAUAGCAAGAAUAGCAUUGUUGAGGAUUAUGCUACGCGAAUGUGUUAAGGAAGAAAUUGAAAAAUGUAACGGUAGUUCUUUACGCAACACUAAAGUGUUCAAGUAAGGAAUUAUAUAUAGUUGUCACACUUGAAUGAAAGAUAUUAUAGGCAAGCAACAAAUAUGUAAGGCAUUUGGUAAAUUUCUGAAUUUGUAGUACCUUUUUUUUUUCCUUGAGCUUGGAAUGUUCCUAGCUAAUUAAUUACAUUUUGUUUGGUGUUAUCUAGGACGAAAGCUGUGCAAUAGAUCAACAAAAAUGGAACCAUCGACAAACAUCGCGCUUAUAUCCUCCGGUGAACCUGAGGAGCCUGAAGAGAACAUCACUUACAUGGAUGCUUUGUUGUACAAGGCAGCAGCAGAAGGCAUAAUUGAAGAAUUCAAUAAUCACCCAGAGCUUCAACUUGAGUCGCUAAAGACCCCAAACCAUGACAACCUGCUCCAUGUUAACUUGGCAACCCAGGAGAGUGCUGUUGACAUUGUGUACUCAUUAUUCAUAUUAUUCCCCGAAGGAUAUGUAUUAUUCCAUCAGUAUUUGAGUAUUUUCAUUAGUAUGAUAAAAAGAGAAAAGAGAUCAGAUUUUUUCGAGCAAAUUCUCAGCAAGUGUCCGUCACUGCUACUCCAAACGAAUGCUAAAGGUCAAACUCCUUUGCACGUUGCAGCAAGGUUUGGACAUUCUGCUAUUGUGAAACUACUAAUCAAGUCUUGUGCAAAAGCUAGAGAUGGAGAUUUAGAGAAGCUGGGAAUGGAUCAAGUAAAUGCAGUGAGGGAGAUGUUGAGGAUUACGGAUCAGGAAUCGAACACGGCUUUGCAUGAAGCAGCAGGGUGUGGCAAUGUUGAAGUGGUGAAAGCAUUGUUGGAGUUUGAAGACCCUGAUUUUCCGUAUUCUGCCAACAAAAAACAGGAGACUCCACUUUACAUAGCAGCUAGGAGGAGAGGAUCUGGGCGCUUGUUGACU